GAUCCAUAGACAAACAAGAAAAGACAAGUAUAAACAAGAACAACAUCGAACACAGCUAUAAUUAGAUCCACUAGAACAAACAAUAGGUUACAAACAAGCUGAUGAAUAAUCGGCCUCCCCUGAGCCCGCAGACGAUGAUCCACCUCCCCUGAGCUUGUUGGCAACGGAUCGUCGGCCUCCCCCAAGCUCACCGGCGAUGGAUCCACCUCCCCCGAGCUUGUUCCUAGAAAUCGUCACAUCAUCGAGGUCGUCGUCACCACCCAAGGCUGUUGGCUUCUGAUGCGGCCUCUCGAGGCUCGUCGACUAUGGGCUUAGUUGGUAGAGGCGGGCGGGAGCAGAGGAGGAGAUGCGCCAAACCCCUUCACUGAGCCGCCGCUACGCCCCUCCUUCCCGCUUUGCAGCCGUCGCUGGUGGGCCGCUUUGUUGAGUUGCCGCGAGCCAUGCUCGCUUUGCAGUCACCGCCGCCGGGCCUUUUCGUGGAGUUACCGCUGCUCCAUGCCGACCGGUGAGAGAGAGAUAGGAGAGGGAGAACCGGAGAAGGAGAGGGAGAGGAGAGGAUAAGUGUGGAAGAUGAAGAGGGAGAGAGAGGAGAGGAUAAGAAAGGAGUGGUACGAGAGUGAGAGGAUAAUUUUGGGAAAAAGAAUAUAGUUGGCUGAUUUUUUUAUCUUUGGUAGCGGUGCUCCUAAUAUGCCGUCUGCAAAAAUUUCAAUUGUUGUAGACAGUCCUUUUAAGAGGUUCGCUUGCAAAAAUGUUUUUAUUUUUCCAGGUAACCAGUAUAAAACUACUUUAUACGGAAAUCAAUUUUCGCAGGCAGGUUUUGAUCAGGUACAACUUUAUAUAUUUGUACGAACGAUCAUAAUUGGGAACGUUUUAGCCUGCCUGCAGAAAUAAAUAUGGUGUCUGUGAAAAUGGUUUUUAGUAGUGCGUUUGUCUCGCUUAUAUGUUUUAGGAGCUCCGAUCUAGCCAAACGUCAUUCCCGCAUAGAUCUAAUGGUGGUGGUGAUCUUUAUAAUUAUUUUUACUUUAUCCGCUCUUAAUAUAUUUAUCUUCUACUUAGAUAAACUCCAAUGCAGUGAUCAUUAAAAAAUAAAUUUAUUUUGAGAUAAACAGAAAGAGUGAAAAAAAUAGUUAUUAUGAGAGAUGUAGCAGUAAGUUAUUGCCAUAACUAGUCUCUGUACGUAGAUCUACGUCAAAACAUACGACUACACGGGUACGGUAAUAUAUACAGUACCCCCUGUCAUUAAGCAUUUAAGCUCAAAUAAAAGGCGAGUCACGUCGCUCUCCUACAUUGACCACGGAGCUUCUCUUAGGGCACCCACAAUGGUUAUCUAUAAGCUCUCUAUAAGAGAUCCAUGUCAGUAUAUUUUCCUACUUGGAAGAUAUUAAAUGAAGAGAGAGAGCAAAGCUAUCUACUAACAUAGAGAUAGUCUAUAGAGAAAAACGAGGCAAUGCAUGAGAGAGCUAUAGAUAACUAUGUAGACAUACUGUUAAGGUGAUUUACUAUUAAUCUAGUCUAUUGCUGAGAUGUACAUGUUUUAUAGAUAGCACCUUACUUUACCAUUGUAGGUGCUCUUAGGUAUGGAGUAGCAGUAGACUAGCAGUAGGUACGUCGUUGCCGUACGUAGUAGUACUACUCAACUGCCUGAUCCGAUCGAACGAGGUGAUUAAUUAACAAGUUAUCUAACCAGACAAUCAGUAAUCACACAGAGAGCAGUUACUAAUAUUAUCACAUAUUAUCGCAUCUCGUACUAAAUUAACUUAUUAUGUGACGGAGGAAAUACCGCAUAUUUCACUGGUGAUUACUCUGUUUUCUGAUACCCCUAAGCACUAAUUAUAGUAAAACUUCCUAUAGACAAUAAUAAAAUGAAUUACCCAAAUGCCCGGCCUAGUGAGACAACCGCGACACAAGUAGUACAAUUCUACGUGCAUCAGGAAAGGGAGUUUACUUGGCACUUAGCUUCUGUAUGUAGGCUUUGAUCAGGACCAUUUUAGUAGUAUCUAAGCUCGGUAACAACUAAAACAACCAUUAAAAGGGCAUAAAUGUGAUGUCUAGCUAAAGUUUCAUAAGCUAAACAGAAACCUAUACAAAUAUCCGGUGUAUCCUUAACUUCGGUGCUCCCAUACUUCCUUAACUGCAAUUACGGUCGAUUGGGUUGACGUGUUAAGAAAACCCUAGUUAGCGAUGACGGUGUGCAAUAUUGCAGAUUAUUUGCAGCCAAAGUGGGUUCGAGCAAGAGAAGCGUUCGUGUUGUGAUGGUGAAGUCGUGUAUGUAUGGUUUAGCAAAUUGGGGGAAUUUGGAACAAUUCAGGUAUUUCACGUAAUUAAAGUAGAAAAAAAGGAUGGUAAAUUUCUUCGUUAACUGAAUUUAGAAUAAAAAAUUCAAAAUAAAUAAAUAAAAAGAAAUAUGAACUACGACUCAAAACUCUAAUGACCAUGAAUAAUAUGUACAUGGUACACACGGAUGCUUUUUUAACAGAGUUUAGUGAGGUUAGCUCUUUGAGCAUGACACACCUAUGGCAUUAUACACACAUGUACCCUAGAGACACCCACAAUCGUCCCCCCUACAACAUAUGCCACAUAUGAGGCAGCUUGGGCUUAAGCCCCACAUGGGACUUAAAAAAAUGAAUGAAAAAACACUAAACAUCAUAGAAAAUUUGAACAUAAUAAACAAUAAACAGAACUAUAUGGUUGAACCUUACCCUUGAUAACUUCCUGCCUUCGCCCCUGUCCUUCCCAAAUCCCUAAUCUCACAUGUACACACUUGAGUCCCUAAAACAUACUCAAAUAAAUGGCAAAUUCCCAACCUAACUAAUAUAUUAUAUAUUAAAAAUCCAUGAAACUUCCUACAAACGCUCCUUAGCCAUCACGUAUCCUUCUACAAACGUUUCUAAGUUGCCAAGUGGCAGUCUAAAAUCUAACCAUUGAUUUUCCUUUAAAUUAGUGGGUCUAAUAUUACCAACCAUUAGAUCAAAUAAAAAAAAUAAAACCCUCCUCUCCACACCGGUCCCCAUGUCACGCCCCAAACUAGUCCCGACCGGAACUAGCCCGUGACGCUCCAAAUUAACCUAUUAAUCGAUACCAGUCCCAGAAAACAGUGCUGGUAUCACAGGAAGACAGAUUAUCACAGCAACAGAGGUCUCUUUAUUAUAGAGUAGGAGUACAAUCAAGUCGGGCUGCGGACAGAUCCCGAGCUCACAACUGCAUUACAAAAGGGAAGCGGAAGCCAAGACUUGGACCAAACAACACAGGCGCGACUUGGAAACUAGGCCGAAACCCUAAAACUCAUCGUAGCCGGCUUGCUCCUGGAAGAACUCCUCGUCAGCGGGAUCCGCUUCAUCUUCUUCAGCAACUGGGGGGGAUUAUUUAUAUAGAGCAAGGGUGAGUACGGGAGUACUCAACAAGCCAUGGGAAAUAAGUGUUUAAUGCAGGCUUCAAAGAAAGGGCUGUUGUUUUUGCAAUUGAUUUUAUUUGAACUCUUUUCUGAAAACAACUAAGUGAGUGCUUCUCAAACGACACGGAUGAGACAGUGCGUCUCGUCCGGUCGGAGUAUGUGCAAUGUAUCAGUCUUUAAAAUUGAUCAAGAUUGGCACCCGGCCAACAACUUUCAAACGGCCACCCGGGCCAACAACUUUCAAACGGCCACCCGGGCCUAGCCGAUCCCAUCAGCUGCAGAUUUUCCAAACAACGAUCCCCUUUUCACAACAGCAAUUUCACAAGGCAGUAGUCAAACAAAACUACGCUAGGAAUCACCUCACAUCCGCCCAUGACCGUGGGCACGGCUGUUCGAACAGUUUGUUAACCUCUGCAGAGGGGGUACACUUUACCCACACGACAUUACUAACCCGGAUCACCCAGCCCGUGGGGAUCAGCCACGUCGGGAGACCUCCAAGCUUUCAUGACAAGGCAUUUCCAAAGCCGACACAGAUUUACCAUAUGCCGACGAGAGGGGUCCCAGACCAACAACAGGUUAGGUCCCAGACCAUACUGUGCCAGGAAGCCCAGGGGUCCUCCCCGACACCACCCCGGCGAAUCCACAUGUCUCUCGGCAUCAAGGCUCCCCUGAUAAGCUAAUUACUUAGCCAGGGGUGUCCCAUUCCACCCAUGUGGUCGUACUUGUCUUAUGUUCGGAUGAAAUUCCAAGGAAACGGUCCUUAAGUGCAAGAGCGGGAAACCGUACACCCGGUACGUUCCCCGGUCCGCGGUUUUGAAAAUUCAUUUAGUUCGCAAGCACCGACCCAGGUGUCGGGUUUUCCAAGCCUUUUGUAAAACCCAAGUUUUACCCAAGAAGUUUUUUCAGAUUUUAAGUUUGAAGGCGACCGUCGAUACUCGCACAGGGUGCACGAAUAUCGAGGCGCAACUAGAUGGUUACAAGGGGACAUGAUAUAACAAUUAACAAAGGAAGGAUCAAAUGCAACAAAUUAGGUAGGUCCGUCAAUCUGCCUUGCAGACGGGACAAACAGAUUAAGUGCGAUCCUAUCAAUGCAUAAUAUUUUUCAAGCAACAUAAUUAAAUUCAAAUAUAGGCUCAAGAUGUUCAAAGGUGGCUUGCCUUGCUCGAGAUCUGGAGCUUGAUCCUCGAAAUCCUCGCACUGCGGGUCUUCGGGCUCCGAAACUAUACGCAAAACGGGACAACUCAACAAACGGCGAAAAUAAAGCCCUAUUAAUGACCUCUAAGCGUGCCAUUAGAUAGAUCUAGAGAUUUGAGGAAUUUUGGAAGUUGAACAGAGUCAAACGGACUUACGGUUGGGAAGAUAUUGAAUUUCUAAGAUUAUUGGAUUUUUGGUCUAAAGGAAAAGGAUUUAAUUAAACCCUUUUGGAAAAAGAAAAGGAAGAGGGAGGGGAAAUAAACUUCCCUCGGGCGGCUAGGGCGCGACCCGAGAGAAAAGGGGCGGCUCGGCCGAGCUAAAUGGGCCGGCCUGCCCAAGAGGACACGGCCCAAUAGGGCGCGGGGAGGGGAGAGAGAGGGCGCCGGUGGACCGAGUCCAUCUCGCGUGGUCCCGGGUGGGACCCGCUUGUCAGCGGCUCGGCUCACCGUGCGGAGGGAGCACGCGGCGCGGCGCUAGGGUGUGGAGCGGGGCGCGGCGCAUGCGUGCGGUUCGCGGUGGACGCGGAUGCGGCGGGCCCACGCGCAGCCUCACGGCUCGCGGUGGACCGCGCCCGCGAGCGGGGCCGGAGGGAGCGGCUGACCGGGGUCGGCUCGACCCGGUCUUGGCCGAGCUGGCGCCGACGUGGCGCCUACGUGGCAGCCACGCGGGCCGGCGGGAGGUUGAAGAAGACGCCGGCCGGAAUAGACGGCGGACGGCGGUGGCGAGCGGCGGAGCGAAACACGGCGAUCUAGGCGAAAGCGAGCACACCGGCUGGUUGCGCGGGACGAGGGGAGUCGAGCCAACGGCUCGGAUUUGCCGGGGGAUGCUCGACGGCAGCGGAUUGCGGCGGCGGCAACCGGCGGCGGAAGAAGAGGGAAACGGCGACGAGGUCACGAGGGGCCGAUUCCCGGCGGCGAGAGCAUCUACGCGGCUACGGGAAUCCGAUGCUAGCGUUGGAUUGGGCGGAGCUACGCCGAGCGAGGCCGGCGAUGAGUGGCGCUUCCGAGCUCGGGCGGCGACAGCGGCGAGCACACGGCGAGCGAUGGCAGCAGUCGGGGCGGCGACGGCUAGCUACGGGGAGGCUACUCGUGCUACUACCCGAGUCUAAGGGGAGGAGAAGGAGCGAGGAGGAAGAACGGAGGGAGGCACUACCGUGCGGGCGGGCGCAGUUGUCACGCCCGGAAAUUCACUAGUAAUUUCCGAACUUAUUUGUGCAUAAAAUCCUCGUCCAGGAAUCAGCCGAGGUACACAAACUGACAAUUUAAUAUACAAAUCCAUCAUAAUAAUAACGUUAGACACUUACAAGAGAAAAGAAAACAGCAGCGGAAUAACGGUCUAGCGAUGGCUUCAGCCCCACUCCCACAGGCAGCUCAACUGGGGUAUAAGCCAAACGUCUUCUCCUUCUGGAUCCUUUUUCUUCAACUGAGGUUGAUUGAUUAUUGCAAGAAUGAGCAUAUGACAUACUCAACAAGCCACACAACAAAUAUGCAAGUGUACAAGGAUACCAAAGGAUGGCAUAAUAUAGGCUCAUUUGCAAAAGCAGCAUUUAGCAAAACAUUUAAGAAAAAUAAAACAGUGGAGUAAUUAAUCAGAAAUUUUAAUCAACACUGAGCAACACACCCAUGCUGCACAGGCCCAACCAUCCUGAACAACCACACCCGGCUAAACAGAUCUAACUCCAAACCAGGAGCUAAACAAUUUAUUACCAGGUAUAACAUCCAUAAUUAUUGUGAGAGGUGUGAGACUAAUCACGAAAAACAUUGCUCAACCCGCCCAUAACCGCGGGCACGGCUAUUCGAAUAGUUUUACUCUGAUCAGAGGUGUACCACUGUACCCACAAGACACAGCCUCAACAUCAUGUCUACCAUGCGUCGCGAUACUGGAAAGUACCCGAAUAGAGGCUGUGACAAUACCCUCUGCACAACACAACUCACCACAGUGCACCAUUCCUGGAUCAUAAUCACCCCCUUAUAAAACAAGGCAUGGACUCCCCAGCGACCCCCGUGGGCUUAUCUCCGCCACUUCUCAGUCUGGUGCUCCGCAAUGAAUCAUGUUAUACAAAAGGUAAAGCCGUUGCCCACGCUGGCUUGUGGUUGGCACGGUUAAUGUUUCACAACAGUAGCUCGCGAACCGGUCCUUAAUUGUCAUGAGCACGACUCUCAAAACCAUGUGCUCACAACCCACCAUUAUCAAGUUUUAGUUGGCAAGUAAUUAAUUAACCAAUCACGAUUAACCAUCGUGAACUAUCAUUAAGCCAUCAUUAAAUAAUAGUGAGUCAUAAGUUAUCCCAAUAGUGUGCCAAUGUUUCUAAGCAUGGCUAAGCAAUUACAUCUAAUAUCUAGCUGAACCAAUAUAUAAAGCUCAACUAGUCAAGUUAUAAUAACCCAAGGUAUCAAGGAAUAAAGUAAUCAAUGCAAACAGGCCAUAACAAAGGAAUAGAUUCACACCACCCAGUGACAUUCGAAAAUAAAUGCACAGUUGAAAUAAAUAGAGAAUUUAAAUAUAGGAUCAACAUGCUCAAAGGAUUGUGUUUAGGAUCUGUGUGACUUGCCUUGCAAUAAUCGGUCUUCAAUUAAUCUUCUUGAAUACUUCCGGCGCACUCACGAACCUUCGCAACGACGGAAACGACAAGCUAACACGCAAAACGAAGAAAAAUACUAAUAAAAACCAAAUAAACAAUACAUAAAAAGUAAACAAACAUGUAGAUCAUAAUUUUAGAUGAAUUAUGAGACUUGAACGGCCUCAUUCUGACUUCAUAUGAAUUUAUUAUGAAUUUUACAAGAUUAAAUCUAAUUAAAGCCCAUUUAAAAAGAAUUAAAUAAAUUUAAUUCAAUUUAUGGAUAAUUUUAAUAUGUAGAUCUUUAUUUUAUAUAACUUUUGCAACUUGAACCACAUUAUUGCGUCAGCGGCUAGGGUUUGCGGUGGACCGGGUGCACGGCAACGGUUCACGGGAACGAACGGCCGAGAUCAACCCUAUCCAAAACGGACGGCCGAGAUCGAUCGGGUCUACGGCGGCUUACGGGGAAACGAUGACGAUGGCGUCGACGAUGACGUCACCACCGGCGGCGGCUCGGCGGCUCUGGCGCGCAUGCUCGCCGGCGAACGACGGCACGGCGGCGCGAACGGAGGACACCAAAACGGUGCGGGCAUCGCGGCGAACUCACCGGUGACCAAAGCAACGGCGGAGGAGCAACGGACGACGUCGGCGACGAGGUCGAAGCGGCGGAGAAGAUCGGGUCGACAGCGGCGACGGUGCUCCGGCGGUCUUCAACGACGGCGAAGGGGCGGACGAGGACGGCGACGCGACGGCGACCACGACGGUGACCUCCCCAAGCGACGGCGACGACUGGAGCGACGGCGGCGCACGGCUGGAGCGGCGGCGACAACGGCGGCGUGAGGCGGCUCGGCGCUAGGGCUCUACCGGCGACGAGAGGCGAAGGCGAGGGUGGCGGCGGGUAGAGGAGACACCGGGGGUCCUUUUAUAGGGGCAAGGAGGCGGCGGCGAAGGCCCACGGCGACCGGCGACGCGAAGGAAACCUCGGGUUCGGAGGAAAGAGACCGAUCCGAUUCGACCUCGAAUCCACGAACUUCCAAAGCGAUUUAGACGACGCUUCCAAAAGAGAAAAGGAAGAGGAGAUCGCGAAGAUCGUUUCCCCUCAAUCGAUUCGGCCGGAAAAGGAAAGGAGCGACCGAAUUGGAAAGCGGCGGCGGCGCUAGUGUUUCGGGCGGCGGCGGCCAGAGGUAGACGAAGACUGACAGGUGGGUCCCGCCUGUCAGCGACCAAACGCGCGCGCGCGGCGGCUGCGGACUGGGCCGACUUGGGCCGGGGAGAGAGAGAGGUUUUGGGCCGGCUUUCGGCCCAAAGCCAAAAAGAGACUUUUAAAAACCUUUUUCAAUUUAAAUUAUUCAUGAAAUGCAAUUCUAUUUAUUAAAAAUACUUCCUUAGCUCAAAUAAAUCCCAGAAAAAUCUAGGAAUUAUAGAAUUAAGCAAAGUAUUUAAUGAAAUUUUAUCUGGCCCCAUUUUAUAUUGAGAUUUAUUAAUUAAAAUUAGAUCUUCUCUUCUAGGCUUUUAAAAUAAAUUCUAAUAAUUCCAAUUAAACAACAAUUUAUAAUUUAAGGAUUUUUAAACAAGAAAAGCUCUUAACAAUUAUAAUUAGAUUAUUAAUGAUCAAAUAAUUACUGAACUGUUCUUUGUAUCAUUUAGGAAUUGAGCUCUGAAAAAUCCGAGAAAAUUUCAGAGAGUUGACUUAAUCAUGGAGAAUUUAAUAAAAAUUAAAUCCAUCCAUGCUUUAUAUUUAAGAAAUUUUAUUUCCCACAUUUAACUUCACUUGUAAAUUAAAGAACAUUUAAUAUAAAUUCUAUUAUUAAUUUAUUAAAUAAUUUAUAAAUCCUGAAACAAAAAUCAGGAUGUGACAGCAGUGACGAGAGCCGACAGCGCGAAACGUGAUCAUUUCGGCCUCGGGCCGAGGAAGAGGAGGAAGAGGGUGCGGCCGAAGUCCCCUUCCACGUCCUUGCUCGUGCCGGCUCCUCCGACACGCGCAACGACGAACGGCGAUGGCGAACAGGGGCGACAGUGGCGGCGAGAGACGAAAACGAGGGAGAUUGGAGGGGGAGGAGCUUGGGUUUAAAUGGGCGACAAGGUCGGUUUGGGAGAGAGGAACCGACAUUGGACGGUCAAGCCGGCGAGCUGGCGCUCCAGCUAGCGGCCAAAACGGCGACAGGAGGUGACGCCGGCGAGAGGGAAAAAGGGAGAAAAGGGGGAGAGAAAGGGGGCUUGCCCCCUUGCCACCUUGGGAAAAGGAGGAGGGAGAGAGGGCGAUGAGGAGGAGCCCUGCUUCCUUUCCUUGGAAGCAUGCGCGGGGAGAGGCGGGGCCGAGUCGAUGACGACGACGAUGACGGCGGAGCGGUUUGGAGCGGAGCGGCGACACGGGCGACAGGCGCGGGCAGGCGCGGCAGAGGCUGACGGCGGUGGCGACCAGGCGGUCGGCCAUCACGGCACGCGCGCGCGGGAAGCAACGGGCGGCUCGGGCACGCGUGCUGGCUCGCGGGGCCGAGCGGCCGCGCGGCUGCAGGCGCGGCAGGGCAGCGGGGCCGGGUGACGCAGACGGCGCAUGCGCGGCACAGGCGGCGACUACGAGGGCGCGCACACGUGAACAACGGCGCGCGGGGGCCGAGUCGGAGGGCUCGGCUCGGCGCGGCUCACGCGCACGCGCGCACGGCGCGCGGGCAGAGCGGAGAGAGAGAGCCGGGAAGGGAGGGAGAGAGAGAGAGAGAGAGAGCCGGGGAGGGAGGGGAAGAUGGGCCGAGAGAGAUUCGGCCCAACGAAUCCGAGGGAGGCAAAAUAGACUUUUGCGGAGGGAGUUUCGGGAAGGAUUUGGAUUCGGGAUUGAACUCAACGAUAGAUCGGAGAUUUGAGAUCUGAGAUGGCACGGACACUAGACAACAAGCAAAGAAACAGAUUUCGUAAAUAGGGUUUUUAAGAGAUAGUUUUCCUGCUAGGCGCCACGACGGAACGGGCGCUACACCCCACCUCCUCUAUAUUCCCCUCCUGACCUCCACCUGUACGUACUACCUCACUCCCCUCAUCUCCUCUUCCCUUUCCUAAUCUUCAAUUUCAAUAGUUACAUGUCUUAUUUAAUUCAAGAUAUAUUUAUUCUAUGAGCCAUAUUCUUUGCAUAUCAACCAAAUAUAACAACGAACUAUUUUUUAUUUAAAAAAGUUGAUAACAUAUAUUAUAUGUCAACUUAAAUAAUUCUACAAAUAUGUUUCAACGAUAUCUAACCUUUCUAUUAUUAUAUACUCCAUCCGUCCCAUAAUAUAAGGGAUUUUGAGUUUUUUCUUGUAACGUUUGACCACUCGUCUUAUUCAAUUUUUUUAAAAUUAUUAUUUAUUUUAUUUGUGACUUACUUUAUUAUCCACAGUACUUUAAGCACAACUUUUCGUUUUUUAUAUUUGCAAAAAAAAAUAAAUAAGACGAGUGGUCAAACGUUGUAAGCAAAAACUCAAAAUCCCUUAUAUUGUGGGACGAAGGGAGUAGUAAAAGUCCAUGAAAAUUUCUAUAAUGCUCCUAAGCCACCAUAUGAUGCUCAUAUAAAUGCUCCUAUGACACCACGUGACGUUCCAAUAAAUUAUAGAAAAUCUGAGAAAAAUAACAACUAGCCUUUGAUUUCUCUAAAAUUAAUAGGCCCACUACUCCAAGCCAUUGGAUUAGAUUGAUUUUUCUCAUUCUAACAAAGAGACGUCCCCUCUUCCCAUGCAAGUAGCGUGCGUGCAAACAAUACGCACAUACAUACCUCCUCUCCGUUUCUGUUUUAAGGAAGUUCUUUUUCUGUCGGACCAAAUUAUACGUUCUAUUUAUAUCAUUAUGUUAUUUAUGAUUAAAAUCACAAAUUACAAUUAAUCACAAAUUAGAAUUUAAUACACCCGUUGACUAUAAUUUAGCUUGUAAAAAUUAUGAAAAGACAUUAUAUAUCAUUAUGAAAAAUUCUACAAACAUGCAUAGCUAAAUUAAAUCAAUAUUAUCAGAACAAAAUUUUCAUAUUUAAUUUGCCAAAAGGAAAAGAAAUAAUUCAACAACACAGGGACGCACCAUGACAUGUUUUGAAACAUGUAUAGCUAAAUUAAACGUUCACUACGUAAACAAGAAUAGUUUGAGCCGCUGCAUAAAAAAUCGAGUGCCUUUAAUUAGAGAAAAUAUUCCAAUUUUUUUCUAAAUGUGCUCAAAUAAUCCAAAUAAAAAAUGAUCUUUCAUAAGUUCCAAUUAAAAUUUCACCUUUAUAAGUUUUCAAACAUAGUGUACGGUGCAUGCCCGCGCGAAUGCGUGGGCUACCUUCCUAGUUUCUAUUUAAAACACAACUAUGUUUGUGUAAUGUAUAUUGAUAGAGUUUGAACCCUAGCCACCACCACUUCACUUCAAGCACAUCCGCAUACCACAACUUUAUUGGUGCUUCUCCACCUUAAAAUACUAUUCUAAUAACAUUGUAAAACAUACCGUUUAGUUGGUACCUUAUAUUCAAAAUUUUGGUCUCGCCAUGGUCCCUGCCUUCCCGGUGUGGCAGAUGUACUGCAACCAUGUCAAAAAGGUUUUGUUUUAUUAAAAAACAAAGUGAAUUUUCUUAAAUUACCUUCGAAAGUUCAAAAAAAAUAAAAAUGUUUUUCCUAACUGUUUCUCGCUGAAGUUCAAUUAUACAGAUAUGAUGUAAAACAUACGAUUUCAUACAUUUCAACGGUUCAACCAAGUUAUAUGGUACAGUUAGAGAUUGUAUACACGCUGGAUUUUGGUGUCUUGUAAGGGAAAUGCCAUAUUUUUAGUAGCAUACGAGGAAACUCAAGAAUUUGAGUGCCACGUAAGCUAUUUCCAAAAAAAAAUAUGUUGCUUGAAGAAUGUAUUGUUUAUGAAAUUCUAUCUUUUGCAAGGGAUGGCGGUAGUGAUCUCUUUUAAGGUUGUGGACUUGAAGAAGACGUAGUGGCAAAGCUUUUGCCAAAGGUUGCCGUCAGGCUUCAACAAGGGUGAAAUUGUUGGCUAUGGUGGUGAAGGCAUAUCAAUACCCUUAAGGAAACGGUAGCAUCGAUCUUCAACGGGGAUGGCUUGCUUUAGUAGGGGACAGUGUGUCAUUGGGUGUGAGUGUGUCAUUGGGUGUGAGGGAUAAUAUUUAGAUGGCAUAAGGAGGGUAAAAUCUAUUCAGUGUGCUCUCUCUCUCUAUUUGGUCUUAACUAGAGACCCUUUCGUAAGUCGUCCGAUGAUGGCUAAGAUAUAUAUAAACACAUGAAUGUUAUAUUGACCAAGAAACAGAUAAACGAGACCACUUGCUAGAAAAAGAGGACCACAUACUAUCUACUAGUUGUCAUGUCAAUUCACGUGCAUACUACUGAGGCUAACAUACCGUUACAAAAGUAUAUUUUCCUUUGGUAUAGGAUCUUUGAUGAGUUAUAUUUUUUAGAAGUAUAUUAUUCAUAUAUUAUUUGUAAGAUCCGUUUGAACCAUCAUACUCCACUUAAAAUAUGUGACAAAAUGAGUCUAAUAGGGCGUGUUUGGUUGCCUGGACCGCACCUGGCCCGCAUCUGGCGUGCAACCUGCAGGUUGUUUGGUUGCUUGGACGGGGGACUCAGCCAGGCCUAGGAGAUGCAAAAAGGCCCGUCGAGCCAGGCUGAGGGGAAACGGCCAAUUUGAGCUUUGCUGGGCGGCCUGGCUCGUGGCGUGCAGCGACAGGGCACGAGGCUGCACCCGCGUGUGCAGGCAGAAAGAGAUGGGGUCACCGCGCGUUGCCUCAACUCCUCGAGCGCUUCUCCCUCUUCCUCAUUUUUUCACAACGAAAAAAAGCUAGGGUUUGGGCUGCUCGCCAGGAACCUCACUGCGCCCAUCCUCCAUCGCCAGGCGGGCGUGAGCGCCGGCUCCCUCCUUCGCAGGCUGCUUGUCUCCGUUCGUCGGCAGCUGCUCGUUUCCCCCGUCGCCGGCUGCUCCUCUUCCCCCGUCACCAGCUGCUCCUCCCCCCCGUCGCCAGCUGCUUGUCUCCCACCAUCGCUGGCUGCUCAUCUUCCCCCGUCGUUGGCUGCUCGUCUUCCCUUCUUCUCCUUUCUAACAUGUCUGGGCAUGAUUUUUUGGUCUGCCCUUGUUCUUUUUAUUUUCCUUGCUGUUAGAGAUUGGGAAAGAUGGUCACUUUGAUUUUGAUUUUUAAACUGGAUAACUAUAAAUUUAUAAAUUUAUGGUUUAUGUUCCACAGCUAGAUGGUUACCACUUUUAUCAGAAUAUUCGCAUAUAUACAUGCUAAUGAUAUCGACGACGGCUGUUGAGAGGUAGAGAAAUAUAUAUACAUGUGUGUGUGUGUGUGUGUGUGUGUAUAUAUAUAUAUAUAUAUAUAUAUAUAUAUAUAUAUAUAUAUAUAUAUAUAUAUAUAUAUAUAUAUAUAUAUAUAUAUAUAUAUAUGUUACCGGCAUGCAUGAUUUUCACAUUGAUUCCUUUUUGUUAAAAAAUUACAUGAUUACUGACAGCUAGUUGUUUAAAUUUGUCAAAUAUAUGAAAUUAACGAGAUUUUCGAAAACUUGGCUUAAAUAGUAACACCAUGGUCACCAUAUGUAAGAAGAGGUCACCCAGACCCAAGGUCCAACCAACAAACCAAACACCAUCUCUAGUGUACAGCAUCCUGUCAUACAACCAACCAAACAUCAUCUCAUAUCAUCUAGGAUAAACCCAUGCAGACAACCAAACAUAGCCAAUUGCAUUAUCCUAUCCAGGUUGAGGGCACCCUGGAUGAGGGAUACGAGCCAGACUAGGGACAUACUAGCAACCAAACACACCCAUACUGAAUAUAUUCAAAUUAUUCAAAAAAAAUUUUCUUAACUCCUCUAGUGUAGUUACUUCCAAUAAUGCAAAAGGUUACUUCUAACACCGUGAAAAGUUAAUUCUUUCUAGCGGUUCAAUUACUUCUAAUACCUUGAAGAGUUAUUUUUAUUUUAUUUUUUUAUAGUUACUUCCCUCUAGGAGUGUAUUUACUUCUAAUAUUAUCAAGAGUUACUUCUAUUGUUUAAAAAGUUACUUCCCUCCAGCAGUGUAGUUACUUUUAAUAUCAUGAAGAGUUACUUUCUAUAUGACACAAGAUUUGUUUUUUUUUAAAAAAUAAUACAAUAAUUACUUUAAAUAAUGUAUGUAUUUACUUGAAAAUAUUCCCUACACUUUACUUGUGAAUUUACUCUACAUAGUUUCUUACAUCAACUCAGACAUAAUGUAAUUACUUCUAAUGCUAAUGCUAUAGAGAGUUACUUCUAUUGCAUAGCUAAGUUACUUCUACAGUUUAAAUAAAUUACUUUUAAUUAAUAAAAUAUUUAAAUAUAUUCAACAUUGAUCUCAUUUUGUCACAUAUUUUUAGUGGAGUAUAAUAGUGCAAAUAGAUCUUUAAAUAAUAUAUGAUUUAAAAGAUAUAAGCCAUCAAAGAGGUUUAAAAAAGAGCUAAAGAGAUAUUUAUAAGUGGGAUAGAGUGAUCGCUGCUUUAACCAAGCCAGCAACCGUGCACUGUGUAAUCGUGUCUCAUAAGGAGGUGCCCUAAGCUGCUUCCCUGGACUUUUGCAUUUGAGCAUUUCAAAGAUAAUCCCUUGCCAAAAGCUAUAUUUUUGUUUAUCUUUUUGAUCUUCUGGGGGCAUGGAGGGGUGCAGAAGUUCAAUUCUAGAGGAUUGUAUAAGCAUUCGGAGAUAAGAUCGACCUUUGAAACAAGUCCGGUCGUUUAAUGGAUGAGCUACUUUCUCUAGUCAUAAAUAUUAGGGACUAUCUAAAAUUCUAGCAACAGAUUUUUUAGAAAAAUCUUUCAAAUGUAAUCAGUGUAAGUUAUAUGUAAUUACUGUUUAACUAAUGUGUAAUUUUUAUUUCAGUUCAAAUUUGAAUAACUGCUCACUUGGUUAAGGCGUGAUGCGUGCGACCAGUUGGUCCUACGAUCGAAUCCCCGAUCUUGCAGUUUGCUGUGUUUUUUUAUCUCUGGCAACCAGCACGGAUCUAAUCACGAAAUCAAUGGACCAGAAAUCGAAAGAUAUCCAUAAAAAAAAAAUCUGUCGACAGAUUUGUACCCUUUCCGUAAAUAGUAAACGUUUAGCACAAAGUUUGGUCAAAAGUUUAACGCUUUGAUAUAGGAGAAGUUUGUAAAACCUAAUAAGCUUAUGAUAUUAUAAUUAAUAUUACUUUUCUAGACAAAGCCACACAAACUAUAUAUUUUAUUCGUUUUUACCUAAGCAUUUCAAAAGUUACUUACAGUCUAAGUAUCAAUACAAAGUAUCAACAGUGCUAUCAAAUCUUGUUAUAAAUGCCACAUAUUUAUGACCAGAGGGAGUAGGUUUUUUAACUUGGCUGAGUGAACUAGGUCAAAUUUCGGGUCUAAAGACCAAUAUUGCUGCAGCGUUGAUGCUGAAACCCAUUGGAUUGGAAUGUUUGGAAAAUGGGUUAGGAGAGGUGGGAUUAAAAAAUAGAAAUGAAUGGAGGGAUAUGAUGAAAUGGGUGAGAAGAAUGGAUGGCUAAGAUUAAAGCUUACCCUUUGAAGGGGUGGAAAAUCAUAUUCCAAACCCAUUUUGCAAACACAGCCAAAAAGUGUACUAUACUGAGGGUGUGUUUAGUUCACGCUAAAAUUAAAAGUUUGGUUCAAAUUGGAAUGAUGUAACAAAAAAAGUUAAAAUUUUAUGUGUGUAGGAAAGUUUUGAUAUGAUAAAAAAAUUGAAAGUUUGAAAAAAAAAACUUUGUAUCUAAACUCGGCCUUAGUCCUACGGUCCUACCAGGCCUGAGAACAGAGGUCGGAGUAUUAAUGUACCGGAUUGGACUUCAGUACGCUGCUAUCAUUUUCUUUUCAAAAGAAAAAAAAGAAAAGAUGAGUAGUACUCGUAGGACGAAAAUGUAAAGGGCUCACACCUUUAAAUACUUGUCUACCAGGCCAGGGUGCUACGUUGCUGCCAAAAACCAGGAAAACCACGCAGAGCCGGAGAAGAAAAGGACCCUAGAAAAAGGUUCAUCAGGACCACCAUUUUGCGCAAUAAUAAAGCUCACGCAGACUUGCUAAAUGGCGAGCUGCUCUUUUUCUGCCUUGCAUGUUCUUAUUACAUAGUAGUCCUAUAAGAUUUUAUAACAUUAAUGGAAAUAUAUGUGCUUGAUCGCAUCUCUGCAAAACAUUAGAUGGAAAACUUCUGCUGUCUGCAAAAACAUUAGAUGAAAAACUUCUGCCCUGAUGCUGCAGUAGUACAAGCGCUAUUGCAAAUCGUCAGCGCUAUAAAGAUGAUCAGAUUCCCCUCUCGACGUCAAUCAGCUGGUCCAGCCGGCAUGAGCAAUGGCCAUGUCAGGCGAUCAACAGUUGAAUUAACUCAAACUUCACCCCCCCCCCCCCUUGUACUGUUCUGUCUGCACGCUAAACGAUAGAGAGUUUGUAAUAAACCAUGAUGCGUUUUCCAGGCAAUCACUCGACUCUAAAUGAAUUAAGUCUGCAUCCCAGCUAGAGCCAUGCAUUAGAGGCAAACAUUCUGGUUUGCACUCCACUGCAUACAGACGAUCAUCAUAUCGAUCCUCUUCUUCAAUCAAUGCCGUGCCCAUUUCUCGCGCAUUGCCUUUUCAGAGUUUCAGUUCCUAGGACGGAGCAAUUCUGGACACAGGCUUGGACGUAAAACCUCUACCAGAUCCGUCCGAGAAAACGUUCGCUUUCAGAUGAUCUGGUGGCGAGGCCAUAUCGUCUUUCCGAAACGGUGCAAUGGCAGCGGAGCGGAUGGGCUUAACUCACCUUCCUAUUGCAGACUAGACACAGGUUAGCUCAUACUACAUACUACUAGCUACGUACUAAUGGCGUCGAUCUACUUCAGUAGGCAAUUGAAGUUUUUUGCCUACUGCUACUGAUGCAUGGCUAAUUAAACACCGGUGCCAGUGCCAAAUCACCGCAGCACGUACUGUGCGUUCCACUGUUCAGGACUUAAUUUGAUCGAUACUACUAGCAUGCAUAUCUAAGUAUAUACCCAUCGUAGCUAGCCGUAGAAUAGUAACAGCAGCAUCUAUCUGCAACCCAACGUAGGCCAUGGAAAUACGAAAUCAAACAAAAGCAAAGCAUCGAUUAAGUCUCGUUGAGAGCCAUGCCAUCGAUCAAGCUAGUACAGUAAAUAAGCAACUGGCAGGUGCCUAUAAUUUUAUGCCGUGAUGUGACAUACUGACAUUCACAGCAAGUUCUAAAGUCUGAAGGAUGUGAUGGUGCAAGUGAAGACAGUGGGAAUCGUCUGAAGUAUAUUGUAUCUACAUUAGCUAUCGCUGACACGUGGGAUCGGGUUCACCUGUUAGCCAAUACUACUGUAAGUAUAAUACCGUAGAGGAUCCGUGUCCGAAGUAGCGAAGCUAAUUUUGCUUUACAGUUUACAGUGAUGGUGGUAAAAAGAACACGGUGAAUUCUUGGGGAAGACGCACAUGCGGCUGUGUUUCGAUCGAAUGAUUCCCCUCACCUCACAGCGGUGGUCCUUCUGUACUACUGUUGCGAUUGGGCACCGGGAACAGCGGAAUAAAUGGCAAAAGCCAUCCCUGCGCUCAGGCCUUGCAAUUGCAGGUUGGCGGAAUUUUACAGAGUGUUCCAUUAGUCUCUCUACCCCGUACAUCAUCAUCACCCUUCACUGCCAGUACUGUUCCUUUUUCUCAGCCUCCCGUACAAUGUUCGCAGCAGUAAGCUGUUGAUCUGGUGGGUAGUAAGUUGGACUAGGACUUGAUGGCGUGAUAAACAGUACUGGAUUAGUACGUGAUUAAGGAUGGCGAGAUCAGAGAUUCAGAAAAUGGAUUGGAGACUUCCGUUUGUCCUCCUUGGAAACUGACAAACAUUUUUCCAGGAGAGCAAAAGCUUUACUGAGAAAUGGGAACGCUAGGAAUAGAGUACCUACCACAAACGAGCAACCAGCUAAUUUCAGAGAUCACUUUAGCCGCGACUCGUAGCAACACAUACAGGGCCCAACAAACAGCAAAUUAAAUCUGGGACGAUCGCCUGCACAAUCUGCAGGGGGAGAGAUCCACAAAUCGGCCAUGGCUAGCGCCCCGAAAUGGCAAGCGAAAUGUGCAAAGAAACCAGGAGCUAGCGGCCGGCGCGGGGAUCUCACACUCCAACCGAUCGACCGAGCUAGCAAGCAAACAACUGAAACCGGCAUGCAUGCAAUGCGACGCAAUGUGAUGCGAUGCGACGCAAUCAUGAACCAUGCACCGCCAGUCGUGACUUGCGGCAAUGGCACCGAAUUGAAUGAGUAAAACAAAUUGUUCCCAAAAACGCCGCGAGAUUUGCAAUCAAGUCAAUCGUCCAAACGGAUGGGGGCAAGGGCAAGCCGAGCGAGCUAGCCUAAGCCUAGCUAGCUACUGGUCACCUGCCCACGCCGGGGGCCGGGCCAAGCGUAUACUACUAUUGACAAGGAACAGCACGCACUCCUCCGCUCGCUCGAUCGAUCGCGCGAUAUAUGAACAAUCGCGGGACCAGCCAGUAAUUCGAUCUCUCCCUUCGAUCGGCCGCCGCGCCCGCACGCUGUGCCAGCUUCGAACUAACGAUUCGCGUUGGAAUUUGCGUCCUGUACUGGAACACUGUUGGAUCGAUCGGGUUCGCGCGCCUGACCACUCUUUGGUGCAGCGAGCUGUAGCGCGCGAGAUUCCCCCUCCCCUGCGGCAGCAACAGCGCUGGUCAGGGCAGCGCCAUGAAAGCGCAUGGCAUGCAUGCACUGCACUGCACGCACGCACGCAGAUGGAUGGAUGGAUGGAUUGGGCGAUAGAGGGGGGAAGACGACACAGGCGCCGUACGCCGUCCACGCCACUCGCGGUAGCGCGAGGAAAGGACCAUGUAGGCAUGUGUAGUGUAGCGUCCACAUAUACCAAGCAGAGGCAGAGGCAGAGACGAGCCCCGCGCCGAGUUAAAUGCACGCCCUCUGAUCGGGUGGAUGGAUGAAGUGGGAUCGCGAUUGGCAGCGAUGGUUCGUUCGUUCCUCCCGCGGCGACGGGGUGGGGCACACGUACACCGUGGGGGGUGAAAUCACGGUCCUGCCCCUACUCCUCUCGCGGGGUGGAGUUACGUACACUGACAGUGAGAGGCCACUUUGCCGGCAGGAGAUCGCGGCGCCCGAAGAAGAUAUCGAGUCGUUCGCGCGAGCCGAGUCGAGUCGUGCGUGCCGAGCCAGCCACACCGUACCCCCUCUCCUCUCCUCUAUUUAUGCCUCUACGCAGCGCAAUGUGCCUCACUCUUUCGCUUUUGGCCUCUCUCUCUCUCUCUCUCUCUCUCACACACACACACACUCUCACUGACUCUGCUGCUGCAUUAGUCACUCGCAGAGAGCCACAGCUCCCUGCAAAGAAGAUCUCUCGUAGUGAAUUGCCUCGAUCACGUACUACUACACAUAGACCUACUACUUGAGCCCGAGAGAAGAGGAGAGGAGGAAGAACCAGAGGGCGUCGAAGAUCAUCGGGGAGGAGUUUUCCUAGAGCUCGCUGCUGCUGUUGCUUUUCUCCGGCGAUGGGGCGAUCGCCGUGCUGCGAGAAGGAGGGGCUCAAGAAGGGGCCAUGGACGCCGGAGGAGGACCAGAAGCUGCUGGCCUACAUCGAGCAGCACGGCCACGGCUGCUGGCGCUCGCUACCCUCCAAGGCCGGUAAGCGCCGCUUAUCUAGCUUAAAUUUCUUCUCAACCUCUGCAAUCCUAGCUGCAAUGUUCGGUCGAGGCGAUCGAUCCUCGAGGCUGGCUACUCUCUGAACUCUGAUCUGAGGUGCAUGCAAACCGUGACAAUCGUGUGCAGGGCUGCAGCGGUGCGGCAAGAGCUGCCGACUCCGGUGGACGAACUACCUCCGGCCGGACAUCAAGAGGGGCAAGUUCAGCCUGCAGGAGGAGCAGACCAUCAUCCAGCUCCACGCCCUUCUCGGCAACAGGUGAUCGAUUACUUCGUUUUCGCAUGGAUGCAUCAUGCAUACAAGAUACGUAGUGCACAACUCUCCCUCCUGCUAGCUGCUCGCUCGUUCUUCACCUCGCACCCGGAGCACAUUUAAUUCCGUAAUCGCGAUGGAACCCUUGAUUCUCCUGCACGAAUUUUGACUGCUAGUACUUGUUGCUGACCGGCAGGUCAAGAACACACUAGCCAGUAGCCACCAUUCUGCACCGUAGUCUUGGCAGACAUUUAUGAAAGGGUUAUGCAAUGCAAGGGUUGGAACACGGAGCUUAGCCAGGGGAUGUGUAAAUUUCGCAGGCCGUGCUACUUACUUGCUGUCCCCGUACACACCUGCUUCAGCAUUUUGUCCGUAACAAACCGUACUGUCCAUAGAUUAACACACAAGCUAGGCUAAAAAUUCUUACGUUAGAACAGAAUCAUCACUUGUUUUCGUUUUGUUCACACGUAAUGCUGCAUUGCUCAUCUUUUGCCCGUCGAACAACCACGCAUUAGCUGUGAGCACAGACCAAUCAAUGCAUGCAUCAACAAGGGAAAAAGUGUGAAAAGGUUGGGCAGUGAGAGGCUCGGCCCAGAAUUUUCCUUUCUUUUCUCCCAUAUGAUUCGGCAUUCAAGCUCGUCAUUUAAGGAGGCGAGCCCCCCCAUCAUUGUGGACCAAAACUGGGGUUUGGUCCACUGUUGCCACCUGCCCCUCUUCCCAUUUUGACUCACAGCUUCCGAUCAUCUCUGCCCUCUGUCUGUACUACGCCACGCACGCCUUAAAUCACACCGCCGAUUAUUUACGUUUUCAAGAGUGCUGUUUGUUUAAUUUUGUCACUGCGAAUGGAGGGCUUUUGACGUGCGAUUUUCCUGAUCUUUUUUCUUGGCCGGCGUUGGCGUUGUUGUUGUUUUGCAGGUGGUCGGCGAUCGCGACGCACCUGCCGAAGCGCACGGACAACGAGAUCAAGAACUACUGGAACACGCACCUAAAGAAGCGGCUGGCCAAGAUGGGGAUCGACCCGGUCACGCACAAGCCGCGCUCCGACGUGGCCGGCGCGGGCGGCGGCGGCGGAGGUGCGGCCGGCGGCGCGGCGGGCGCGCAGCACGCCAAGGCCGCGGCGCACCUCAGCCACACGGCGCAGUGGGAGAGCGCGCGGCUCGAGGCGGAGGCGCGCUUGGCUCGGGAGGCCAAGCUGCGCGCGCUCGCGGCCUCCGCGACCCCGGGCGCGCCGCACCUCCCGGCACCCCCCGCGUCGGCGGCGGCGGCGGCGGCGGCUCACGGCCUCGACUCGCCGACGUCCACGCUGAGCUUCUCGGAGAGCGCGGUGCUCGCCACCGUGCUGGAGGCGCACGGCGCCGCCGCCGCGGCGGCCGCGCGCGCCGCCAUGCAGCCCAUGCAGGCGUACGACGAGGCGUGCAAGGACCAGCACUGGGGCGACGUCGACGCCGCCGACGUGGGCUUCCCCGGCGCCGGAGCGGGGUUCACGGGCCUACUCCUCGAAGGCUCCUUGAACCAGAUCCCGAGGCCGGCGGGGAGAGACGCGGAAGCCGACGGCGAGUUCCAGGAGACCGAGGAGGAGAAGAACUACUGGAACAGCAUACUGAACCUGGUGAACUCCUCGUCGGCACCUAUGUCGACGGCCGUGGUUGUGCCCGCCUCCCACGCGUACUCGCCGGCGCCGGACUUCUGAGCGGAGAAAACCUCGCCGGCAUCAAACUUGAUUCGAUCUCAUGACACAGUAAAUAGUUUAGCAAUGAUUGUCGAAUAAGAUGGGACUAAUAUUAAUGUUAGUAAUUAUUAAUCACGUUCUUGGGUUAACCUGACAAUGCUUUCGAUUAAACUUGUGGGCAAGAACUUCAACUGUUCAAGGCUGUAUCGACAUUUGAAAUUCGAUGCUUGUUUUGUUCGGUGUUCUUAUAGAAUGUGUAAAACACUGAAACUACUAUCAGAGAAUGUAGCAUCCUUACUUGCAAAGUUACUACUCCUGCUUGUUUUUUUUCAAAACUUACGAUCAUUUCAGUACUUUGUACCCGGUUCAUUUCAUUCCACUAUCAGUUUUUACUACGCCCAAGCGGUUGGCAACUGGGCACUAGCACUACUGAAGGCCAGGGUUUCCCAAACCACCGGACCGGGGUUACCACACGGUAACCGUGUAAAAUUUAUCAAAAUUUAAAAUUAUUUUUUAAAUUUAUUUGAAUUUAAGGGGGUUACCGCGGUUUCCCUUUUACCGUACCCCACGGUAAGCGCGGUAAUCGCACGGUUACAGACGGUUUUGCAAACCCUGCUGAAGGCAAACGGACGGCCUCAUCUUUUCGCUUAUACUUAUGUUUAUCAGUCAAAAUUUAAAUUUUUACCUUUAAAUUUGGGGUUGAUUUUAUUUUUUUUAUCGAAGGUUUAUUUUUCAGUCUUUGCUUUUAGAUCGUUAAAAAUAUAUAUAUAAAAGAUUUAUUCACAAAUUAUUUUUUAUUUACAAAUAUGCCAUUUCGUUUAUUCUCGAAUAACCGAGACGAUUGAGCUGUGAGCUUUUUACUUAGAUUGGAUCUGGGCCGGGCCGUUUUGUGCUGGGCCAUAUUGGGCUUUACCAUAACUUUCUAGCCCACAUCUAAUAGCUGACGAGAAGGGGAUUAUUAAGGGUAAAGAUAAGAGGAGGCAGCCCCGCACCAUCGUCUUCCUCCUCUUAUCCGCACAGGAGCCUCGGACUCGGACACGAUGCUGGCGAUGUCCGUCCACCCCGCCGCCACGCCGGCCCUCGCCUCGCGCGCCCGCAUCUCCCGGCCCAAGCUUUCCGCCGCCUCCCCCUGCACCACCUCCUCCUCCUCCACUCCACGCCUCGUCCACCUCGGCAGCAGGAGGCUUCCCCUUCGCUCGCUCCGUGGCCUCGCCGCCGCCGCCGCUUCUGGCGCCGUCGAAGCGGAGGAGGGAGAAGAGGAGAAGCAAGUCGGAGGUGGGGAUGCGAGCGCCGGCGAGGAAGCGCAGGAGGUAAUGGGCUAGUAGCCGCUCCAAACCAUGCCAGUGACUGAAAUUACGGGGUUUUUUUUUUUACCGAGUCGAGCUCAAUUUCAGAAGGAAGUGUUGUUUUUUGAAGAGGAUGGAGUUCAAUCACAUUUGGUUUCGCAUGAAUUUGAUUUUUCUUGAAUCAAUUUUGGUUACCGAACUGAUUACUUGAGCUCAUAGGUGAAAUACAGUACGAGGUGUACAUUUGGGUGAAUUCACGAGUAGAGUAAAUCUUUAGACACAAUGCACAGCUGAAAGCUUAAGAGAAGUCACAAGUAGAGUAAAUUAGAGAAGUUCUAGUCUAGUUGAGCAUGUUUGGGCACUCGGGCUGUCCUUUUGGUGCAGUUUUGCACUUCUGCAGAUAAAAGGUGUAUGCUAGUGAUGAAGAGGCGAAGAGCACAUGAAAGCAUGUCCACAAACUUGAGCGUGUGCCAUUUUUGGUUGUAUGUGUAAGCAAGAACUGAACUAUUGAACAAACUGUAGCAUUGACAGGUUUUGGUCAUGAAAGGAGUUUUUUUUCAUUCAGCUAUUUACGUGAUUAUGUAACAACAUUAACAGGCACAAUAAGUUCCUUUUUCAUCACUAUAUCAGAUUUCAGAGAUGUACACUAAAAGUGGAUUAGUUUUGAUUAUAUGGGAGUUACCCUCACAGUUGAAAAAUGGGGCCUUUUGUAGAGAAAUGAAGUUGUCAAUGGAACACGUACAGUAGUUGUUGCAAUUUAUUUUACUACGACUUGAGCUGUGUUAAAACUGCACAAUUUAUUUUACUCAGAUAUGCAAAAUCAGUAUUAGCAUUAUGAGAUUUGAAACGAAUUGAUUUUGUAUCGCAGUACAAGGUUAAGGUGCCUGAAAGGCAGGAUCCAAUGCUUGUUCUGAAGUUCAUAUGGAUGGAGAAGAACAUUGGCAUAGCCCUCGACCAGUUGGUUCCCGGCUAUGGCAGCAUUCCGUUAAGCCCAUACUACUUCUGGCCACGGAAAGAUGCCUGGGAGGAGCUAAGAGCAAAGCUGGAGGAGAAAGAGUGGAUCUCUCAGAAACAGAUGAUCAUCCUUCUGAAUCAGGCCACUGAUAUCAUCAACCUUUGGCAACAGGGUGGUGGCAGCUUGUCAACCUAAGAGGAUAUCUCAAUUCUCCCAUCCUUGAGAACCUUGUUUCUUUUUUUCUUGCUUUGGUUACACGGAUCUUUGUUGUUACAUGACCCUGUAGAUCGAUUCAAACUGUUUUCGGAUACGGUUUUGUUUAUGGAAAUGAAUUGUGAUUGAUCUCUGUAAGGUAAACGAUUUGGGCUCCAUCAUCCGCAGGGAAGAUUGCUAAUACCUCUUGAUACUACUAUACCAUGAUCCAGUUAAAUAAAUGUAACUCGAUAUUUUGAACUUGAAGAAAAAGGGGAAUUUCUUUUCUUUCGAAGAGAUUUGGGGUCACGGGGGCAUAUACCCCUUCUACUGCGAUUAACUAACACCGGUGAUGCCCUGAAAAAGCCCGGCCCGCUCCGCGCACCACGAGCCUAGGCCGUCCACGCGUAGGCCUCUGCAAAACGGGCUGCGGCAACGCGUGAGCCUGUGCGAAACGAGCGUGAAAACGCUCGUGGACUCGUGGAGUCGUCGUGGUGCCCGCGCGUCGUGCUGCGACGCUCGUUCUCACGCCGCAUGCAGCGCCGCGCCAGCUUGGUCACGGUCUCAAAAGCGUUCAAAAGGCAUGGGAGCAACUGAGCAAGGCGUAGCAGCUUAUCAUCAUCUCGGCCAAGGGGGGAGGAGGGGCAAGGCACAUGGAGGCGUUGGGUUGGAGUUGGACCUCCUAGGUAGGGAAGCAGGAAGCUGGACUCGCUAGGAAAAAAAAUAAUGGAGAACCUGUACCGCGUGUACCAGAAGAUAAGCUUAUUUAGCAGUACUGAUUUUUUUUUUUCUAAUGAAAGGAAACAGAGUAUUGUUAAGUCCCAAAGAGAUAACUUAUUUUUUUCCUCUUCGACAACGUAGUACUAACUUAGUACUAGUACUGUUUUCUAUGAUCAAAGUAGAAUAUUGUUAAGCUAGCUAGCACUACCAACUGUCCUCCCAUAAGAAAAAGGUAAGUACUACUACUAUAGUAGAGACUGACCAAUCAACUCAAUUGUGUAAUGCACUGCUCAGAUGGCAUCUUUACCUUCUUAACACUCAACUUCCUUACAGAGUAACGUGCCGCUUUAGGCUUUAUUACUUGCGAUAACCGGAGAGAGAGGCUGGCAAAGUAUACGUAGCUUCCCUAUAAAGUUGUCCAAGUUCAUCGCAGAGCUCCAGGCAGGCAGUAUAAAAAUGGGAAAUGUACACCUGAAAAGGACGAAUCAGCCCCAUUUGGGAAUCCCCUGCACGGCGUCAAUCUCGUCAUCUUGCCCUUUUCUUCCCAUCGACCUGAUGAUUGACACUUGUGGCCUCUGGGGAUUAAACUAUUGCCACCAUGGGCGAUCGAUCGAUCGAGAUUAGAGCAAGUAUAAUAGUGAGCUAUAAGAAAGCUGAAUGCUGAAGUGGAUAGGAGAAAAGAGGAGAGAGAUGAGAAGCGGGCUGUAAGUUUACAGCCGGCUUAGGCACAGGAACCAAGAAAAUCUGUGAGACAGACAUGUGAACCAUAUAUUUAUAGUGAAGAGUUAACCAUUAUACGAGUGAGCUGAUAGAUAGGCUAUAAGUAAGCAGCUGGCUGUAUUAUUAUCCUUUCUCUUAGGACGUUUUCGACAUGAUCAGGUGGUCUUUGUCUCUUAUUUUUAAGGGGAGGCUGAGUCAGAUAAGCACGGCGGUUUGGUGAGGCAUCACCCCGUGGUGCUCACAUGCAUGGGUUCCACCAUGAAUUGGAUCUCUAAAACCUAGUUUUGUUCGAGCUGCCAUGUUUAGUACUACUUCAUCAAAUUAAAAGUUCCGGUGUACGGAUCCGCUGCUGUCCUAGUCCUAGAUCGAUCCUCUGUGUCACGCUUAUGGCCUGCACUGCCGUGAGUUUGGCAAAGAAAACCGUUUGGGAUACUCACAUAUUCACAGUACAGCUUGUUCGAUCUCUCCCAUGGCUAUGUAAUUGUGUGUUUGAUUAUUUUAAAACAAAGGGAAGGAUAUUGGGUUUUAGCUUUAGUCAUGUAAAAAGAAAUGGUUUUAUAUAUUUACCGAAUCAUGAUGCAUCUGCGGAGAUAGUAACGAAAAAACACUCAUCUAAAUAAGCAAGUACAUUAACAAGCGGCAUAGGAGUGGAACGGAUCAACUUGAGGUGAUCAAUAUAAAGGGGGUUAUCACGAGUACCAUUAAUAAAAGCACAUCUAUUCACGUGAACUCGACCUCUCAGCCCAUUUGGUAGGUCAGAAAAGCGGACCUAAAACAAAUAUGCACUGUGGCUUGAUUCGCCAGCUGGAUCCAAACUGUCGAGACAAUAUUAUAAAGAGUAAAGUCCAUCACCGGUCCCUAAACUUUUACCGCUGUGUCAUCCCGGUCCCUAAACUCGCAAAUCGACCGUUUAGGUCCUCAAACUUGUUCGACUGUGUCAUCCCGUCCCUAAACUUGCAGAUCACUCGUUUAGGUCCACAAACUUGUUCAGUUGUGUCACCCCGGUCCCUAAACUUGGAUUUGAAUAUCAUCUGGAUCAAAUAGGACGGUCUAAAGACUUUAUAUUUAAAAAUAAUUCAUAACUUUUUCAUGUGAACUCUAAUGAAGAUAAACUUUAUAUCGAACUUGUAGCCCUCGACGCGAUCUACACCUUUGUAGUUGAAUUUUUUUUAUUAUAAGUCAUUUUUUGUCCCAAAAUGUAAUAUUAAAAUUAAAAUUUCAAAAUCUAUAAACAUGCAACAAUAUUUUGGGACCCUAAACAGUUUUAAUUCAAAAACUUUUCAACUACAAAGUUGUAGGUCGCGUCGAGGGCUACAAUUUUGAUAUAAAGUUUGUCUUCAUUAGAGUUCACAUGAAAAAGUUAUGAAUUAUUUUUUGAUAUAAAGUUUUUAGACCGUCCUGUUUAGGGACCGGGGUGACACAACUGAACAAGUUGGAGAACCUAAACGAGUGAUAUGCAAGUUUAGGGACCUGGAUAACACAAUCGAACAAGUUUGAGGACCUAAACGGUUGAUUUGCGAGUUUAGGGACCAGGAUGAUACAUCGGUACAAGUUUAGGGACCGGUGAUGAACUUUACUCAUAAUUAAAUGUAUAGAUAUAUGAAGGACAAAAGUAGGAUGAAAACUUCACAUAUACACAUUUUAUUUUACGAAUGUAAAUUUAUCAAACAUACUUUUAAAUAGAAGAAUAUAUUUAUCCUAUUUAACAAAUGUAGUAAGUUUUCUUAUAUUGAAAACACAAAAAAGAUUAUGCUCUGCAUAUUAAACAGAUUCUACAUAAUACGCACCAGGUACACUAGUGCGCGAGCGCCCGUAUCCUAGUUUAUAUUUUUUAGAUAAUGGAAUAACAUUCCGGCCUUUGCUCAAAGAGCUACAACCAAUUAUUACAAUCUAACACUCUAGAAGAGUGUAGUUCAACAAAACAUCAAAGACAUCGAAAACAAUCACCAAUGUUUAAAGAGAGACCAAACUAAGAUAAGGAGAACACAUUUAUUGAAGUCUAUUUGUGAAUCUCCAUCCAAAAUUGGUAAAGAGUUGCAUAACCAUCGUCUCAAGUUUCUGGCAUGCAACUUUUAUGAACUCACCAUCUUCAUUAGACCUUUGUAGUUGAGUCCAGAGCCGGAGCCAGUAUGUUGCCCUAAAAAUUACCUGCAUAUAUGUAAUAGAUGGUGAUUUAUCAAAAACCACAUUAUUUCUGCACAACCACAGAGUCCAACAUAUAGCAGAAGUUCCUAGUGUUAUAUAUUGCCAAAGACACAAUUAAUUAAGAGCACAGUUCCAUGUGGUAUUUAAAGUUUUUCAUUUAGAGUAGUAUGCUAUAAUCUUUCGUGGUUUGUUAAUGUUGACUAUUUGGCGUUUCCUUUAUUCCUAUCUUUGAUUAAUCUAUUCGAUAUUAUUAUAACCAGUUUUGCAAAUAAAUAUAUUAUAAACAGAAAAAUUUCUAAUCAAAGGUCCUACCAAAAUGCAUAUUUUAUGAUAAGAACAUCCUGUGCCUAAUGAUGGUUAUUGCUACAUUUCUUAAUAUGAUAUAUUAAUUCCACUCAUCUAGUGGGCACCAUAUUUCUGGUUUUAAUACAUAAUCUUUUUUUAGAGAAAAUACUAUACUCAUGCACGUUAUUGUGCUGUUAAUUGUCAUUGCGGUAACAAAUUAACGGAAACUUAACCAUUGCAACCAGUUCUCUGCGCGUGUUUUGAUGAUCCACCAGUCCACCACACAGGCACACAGCAUCGGUCAUGGGCAGAUUAGAAAAAAUAUACCACUUGAAUUUGCAAGCACUACACGACAAUUAUUAAGUUGACAUGGCCUAAAACCUUUGUAGCAUUCAUGAUAAACCCAGUCUGGUCAUCAUUUCUUUAAAGGGGGAAUUCACCAUAUAUAUAGAAACUAUGCAUAUAGUUUUAUUUGAAAGUUUAUAAUGUUUACAUAGUAGAUUUCAAGCCGAAAUAAUGAUGCAGUUCAUAGUCGUGCUAAAAAUUGGUUUUUGUACAAAUUAAAAUAUCUAUUUUAAUAAAACAAAGAGUGGCCCAAUAUCGACAAAAGUAGGAAACCUAUAGCCUGAAAAUUGGUCAUACAGAUAAAGGUUAUCGACAAUGCGAAUCUCCCACACGUGAUUGACCUGAUUCGUGUUAAUAUUUAUGCUAUCCUCUCUUAUCUCAUUGAUUGGAUGCACAUGCAUAGCAGUUAUAUUUCGAGAAACUUCUCUUGAACGCCAUGUCAUGGGUUAACAUGUUGUUGAAUGGUGGUUAAGAGUCCAAAGCUUAUCUUUUAUCUACUAAACUCAUACAAUGCUUACUAGCUAGCUAGCUAGGUUACUUUAAUUUGUCGGAGCUUGCACGGCUUUGUUCAUCUACCUGAUUUAUUUUAAGUUGUGCCAGAUCAAACUAUUAAAAACAACAAAUUAUUAAUACUUAUUUAAUCCACAAAAUUCUCUAAAGUAUGUUUACUUAGGCUCUACUAGACCAAUUACCAAGAGAACGGAAUCCAAACGCUGGACAACCAUUCAACCAACGAUACUCAUCGUUGUGCUUUGCACCCAUGGUCAAAGCUAUAACCACCGAUGGUUACCUUUGUUGGACAAGAUCUUGCUUUUUUUGCCCUCUGCCAUGCAGACGAUGAUUGACACUUGGAAUCCACGAGACUUUAGCAUGGCCAAAAGUUAACAGUGCCCGGAAAUUAAAAGCCAGGUCGCCGGCCGGCUUGCCGCUAGCUGCAUCUGCUGCUUGCCACAUCGGGAAGGCUGCAUCCUAUGCUCGUUUGCUACGCUGCAACGUGCAAGUCCUGUACUAUGGCGACAUUUAUCAGUAUGGCCGUCACAUGACAACGGCUGCAGUCAUUACGGUUGGCGUAUGGCCAUUGGCCAGACAUGGCCAAUUUCGAGCUCUGCACCAAAGCCUGAAACAGUGCAAGAGCAGUUGCCCGAGGAAUCGCUAGCGGCGAUCCUUUGUGGCGAAUGAUUUGAGCUACCAACAAACGCAGGGAUGCAUAUAUAUCCACAUCUCUCAAAGUUAUUUACUCUCUAAUCUAUGUCCUCUUUUGUCACCUAAUUAAGUUUAUUAGAAAUGAUGUCUUGAGAUAGGAGGAAAUUGGUCAAAACCAUUUUGAAGUCUGAACAUUUUAUUCCCAAGUUAUUAAAACUACAACAAACAAUUUGUGUUAUAUGGUUAGUGUUGCAAGACGACAACGGAUAACAAUAUUUUAUAUAUAUUAUAGGUUAUUCGGGGGGUCCAUCUACGUCGAGUUCUAACAAGGUGGGCCCUAUAUAUCGCAUCAGAUGUGGCUGUGAUUGGUCCGACGGUUCUGAAACUUAUUUAGACACGUUAGAGUGAUCAUUUUAUUCUUGCUUGCUUUAUAAGCAAUGUUAUGCGUCGCGCCCACCGUUUUUUAGAUCAUCCUGGUUUAGUGAAGAUUAAGGUUUGUAGAUGCGGUGUUUAGUUACAACCAACUAUUUCUAUUUAUAUGCGGUUGAAAGGAGAUAGAUUUCUUUUCUGAGAUAGGAAGAACAUUCGUUUUUUUAAAAAAAUAUACAUGAAGAACAAUCAUUUCGCGCGCGAAAGUGCAAUUAUAACUCAUAUACGGCUUCAUAUGGAUCCAAAGGAAUGGCCCUCAUAUGCAAUCUGCAACUAGCAUAGAGCUGAACCUAACAUAUAUAAGUGGUACUACUACUAGCUAGUAGCUAGCUAGCAACUGCUACAUUUGCUCAUCUAUGGCAGUGAUUGAACCAAAUUAUUAAUAAUUUAUUGUAUUAUUGAUGCACAUUAUAUAUUUAUUAAAGGUAUAAAUUAAAUAUUUUAAUAAAUAAAUUUAACAAAUAACUUAGAAUAAGUAGUUUAAUCAAUACACUAGAAAACGUUUUUUUUUAAGAAAUUGUAUUGUUAAAAGUGUGGAGCAAAUAAUUUGUGAUUAACCCGUGAUAAGCAAAGGUGCAAAACCAAAUGUAUUGGCUCUCGUGCGCACUGCGCAGGCCGUUCAGGGUGACGUGUUCACGUGCACUCUUGUGCAAUAAUAGAGCAUUGGUACCAUGAACCUCUUGGCUGGCUCAAACUCAGAAACGCAUAUUCACUCAAAAAGACGGACCUAGUGCUUCUCCUACGACAAGACUUCCUGUCAUCGGUGAAUGCAAUUCCUUACAGUACUUAGGGUGUGUUUUAGGGUGUGUUUAGUUAACGUUAAAAUUGGAAGUUUGGUUGAAAUUGGAACGAUGUGAUGGAAAAGUUGAAAGUUUGUAUAUGUAGGAAAGUUUUGAUGUGAUGAAAAAGUUGGAAGUUUGAAGAAAAAGUUUAGAACUAAACAAGACCUUAAUUAAAUAUUAUCCUCGUGUCAUAUCAAAAUAAAUUAACCUAGUAAAAUAUGUGACACAUUUUAACACUACGAUUAUAUCACAUCCCAUAUUAAAAUAAGAGUAAAUUGAAUCAUCGGUACACGAACUUGUCAGGUAGGUGCAAUCUAGUACACGAACUUGUAAAAUACUCGCUUUGGUAUAUGAACUUGUCUGUGCGUGCGGAGGAAGGUGAAAAAGACACUACAUAGCUAAUCUUAUUGAUUUAGGGGCUGAUUAGGAUACUAUGUAAACAUAUAUCUGAGAGAAGGUUGCUAUUAGACAUAUACCUCUUCAAUAAAACAUGGCUAAUCUUAUUGAUUUAGGGCUGGUUAGGAUACUAUGUAAACAUAUAUCUGAGAAGGUUGCUAUUAGAAAUACACCUCUUCAAUAAAAAAGCUUCAAUAAAAAAUAGAGUAGGAUAUAGCGAUAGUAGAAAAAGAUUAAAAAACCGAGCAAUGGUAUAAGGGUUAGAAAUAUACCAAAUUCAUCUUUUCCAUGAUAAAAGAUAAAAUUAGAGACCAAAUUUAUAAAUAUUGCAUGUCUUAUGUAUACUUACUACACGUAUGCACGUCAUAUCCUAAUCAACAUCAGCUUCGUAAAAUUAACAUUGCCAAGUUAUUUUUAUCCUCGUUUGCACGAACUAGACAAGUUCGUGUACUGAAACAAGCAUUUUACAAGUUUAUAUACUAAAUUGCACCCAACUAACAAGUUUAUGUACCACCAAUGCAAUUUACUCUUAAAAUAAGAUAUUUUGGAACGGAGGGAGAGAGCAUCUAUCCUUUCUUAACACUGCCUCAUGGUAGCUUAAUUUCGAGUUUAGAGAUGAGAGUGGUACCUACCCUCAUAAAAAAGCUUAUGUAUUUUAUUUCUAAAAGCCAAUAUACAUAUGGAAUGACUUUGAUGAUCUAAUAUUCUAAUUCUCUUGCAUAAAUGAAAAAGAGAGUGGUAUAAGUGUAGUAUUAUUAAAAAUAUAUAUCGUUAUGAUAAAUGUGACUAUAUUAUUUAUUUUCAUAUAUAUAUAUAUAUAUAUAUAUACCCAAAACCUACAUUUUCGAUAGAGUAGUAACUACAUAUGGUUAAGGUUAACGCGGAUUAGCUACAUAUAUAUACACAUAAUUGAAGACAACAUUAUGACCGGAGGAAUACCUAGCUAGGGCGUGUGUAUAAUGGUUUUAUCACCUAUAUCUUGACUUUUAGCAACUGGCAUUACAUGACGAACAAGUUCCUAGCAUGAUGUAUAAAAAAAGGAUCCUAGCAUGUAAGUUGUUGACCAUGAUAAUAAAACAAGUUCAAGAAUAAUUAAAAAAGCUCAUAGAAGACCUGAUUAGCAGGGAAUAUUCUUACAGAAAUUAAGGAAAUUCAGAAACUUAAUGUGGGACAUAUUAUUGCUAUUAUUUUGAGAUAUACUUAGGCCCUAUUCGGUGGAACUCGAAAUUUUGAGGUGCAGUUAUAGGCUGUGUUUAGUUCAGCGUAAAGUUUAGAUUUUGGUUGAAAUUAGAGAUGAUUUGAUUGAAAAGUUAUGUGUCUAUGACAGGUUGAUGUGAUGGAAAAAGACUGAAGUUUGGAUCAAACUUAGGAUCUAAACACAGCCAUAGUGAGAAUAUGGAAAAUCUAGAUUUCCAUUUUGAUUUCGAAUUUAUUUUUCUACUGUUUGAGUGAGAUGUAGAUUCUAGAAAAGCUGCAUAUGUCUACGACUACGAGCUAGAAGAUCCAAAAAGGAGUGUUAGUAUAGUGUGGUUCUCUUGUAAGAAGGUGCGCGGUACGUACGUAAGAAUUCAAAAGGCAUCAACUUGCUAUAGUUAAUCCUCCACUUAAUGGCGGAUCGAUGUCACUAAUUUCCAUCUUUCCCUAUUCAGAAACCCUGCACGAUCUCUACAGCUAGCUGAACUCCGAAACAUGCAGUCCAUAGAUCUUAUCAAUCUGUACAAAUUAAUCUAUACAUAGUUCUAUCUAUAUAUAUAUAUAUAUGUAUAUAUAUAUAUAUACACUUGAUUCAUCUAAUAUAUAUACACCUAUCAUUAAUUAUUAGUAGUAGGGUAGUAGCCGUCUCAGCCAAUCAAUUGGCUAUCUAGUCACAUGAGGUAUAGCUUGAUAGCUUAAGAGCAAGUUUAAUAGUAUAGCCAACUACUAGCUCCAAUUCAUAUAUAGCCAAUCUAAUAGCUCAUUCAUACAAUAGUUACAUACUACACUAUAAAUAUCUAGUCCCACCUAUCAUACACACACCGCGUCUUAGAGUCCGUGCUACAGCUGAUUACAAAUCUGUAGCCCGCUGCUCUUCUCUCUCCUUAUUUAUCUUCUUAAAAUAUGUUUGCAGCUGGCUUAUAGCCUGCUAUUGUACCUGCUCUAAUUACGUUUAGCUUAUGGGGCAAAUUAAACAGGACUAAUUAAUCUCUUGAGGUCGGAAUUAAGAGGAUCGUUGGUCACGCACUCUGUCGUUUUGCUCGAUUUAGAACAAUAAACUACACUAAUUAACCACACACCGUGACACAGGUUGUUGCCUUUCUUCAGCGAAACUCGAAGCAACUAAACCACCAAGUAAUUAAGAGCUAGCUAGCUAGCUCUCAUUGGAUGGGCCAUGGUGGCCCUCUCAUGGGCGUGCAUUAUAUUAGGCUCCCAUGUGAUCAGCGCGACAAUUGUUACGAGAUGCACGUCUCAAUUUUAGUAUCGAUUAAUUAAAAUUUUCAGCUUGGCGUACUCUAGUACUACUAUACUACUCUAGUACUCCAACGUUGUUUAAGACGAAACGGAGCUUAAUUAGGGAGAGAUGCCGAGGUUUGUGUGACCACCUCAUUAGCUAUGAUAGAGAUGCCUGACCUCACCAGCUAAUUAAGGAGAUGAAGUUCUACAUUUAGAUGUACAAAAGUGCAUGGAUGAACAUGCAUGUAUUCCUUCACUACUCAUAAAGAAAGUCGUUUAUGAUAAUGUUUAAGUCAAGUCUUGGAAAUAUAAAUCAGAAAUAACUCUCAAGUUGUUGAGUUUAAAAAUAUAAAAAUUAUAUGAAUAGAUUUGUCUUAAAAAAUAAUUUCAUAAAAGUAUACAUAUAUAUCACUUUCAAUAAAUAUUUUUAUAGAAACAAGAAGUCAAAGUUGUGUUUUGGAGACCGUGUCGCUGUCCAAAACGACUUCCUUUACAAGUACGGAUGGAGUACAUGUAAAGAAUUUUACAUUGUACUUCUUCCGUAUUUUAAUGUAUGACGCCUUUGACUUUUUAAUAAAUGUUUGACCUUUCGUCUUAUUAAAAAAAAUGUAAUUAUCAUUUAUUUUAUUAUGACUUGAUUUAUCAUCAAAUGUUCUUUAAACAUGACAUAAAUAUUUUUAUAUUUGCACAAAAAAAUUAAAUAAGACGAAUGGUCAAACGUUGAUCAAAGAGUCAACGGCGUUAUACAUUAAAAUACAGAGAGAGUAGUAGGCUUUAUGUUUUAAAUUGUCCAUGGAAAAAUGAUGACAGCAUGCAUCCAGCCAUAGUAGAGAUUGCUCAGGCAGCAGCUAUCAUCACUGCAAAUUGAAAUCUAUCUUUGGAUCACUUUAAUUAUCAUCAGGGUUAUUAAAAUUGGGUCACUUUACUCGAAAUGACAUUAUUUUCUUUUCUCCUCCUACAAGUCUUUUUCUAGUUGAAACUAUUUUGGUAGGUAGAUGAUAAACCUUGCUAUGUUAUGGAAAUCGAAUGAGCUCAAUCCAUAGCCACUAUAAAAGGUUAGCCAUUUCUCUUUGACGCACUUGUUACACCUAUCAUGGUUAAUUGUUCUCGACUUAAUUAGAACCGUAUGGAGAACAUUGUUCUGAUCUAUUAGUUUCAAACUAUAGCUGCAGCAGUUUUCAAGACGGUUUUGUGAGGCAGUGAUGGCCCUCUUUAUCUCACUUACUCUUUUCCAAAGGCGGUUAAUCAAACCUUCUCUAAUGCUAGUAAAAGAUUUAAACCACCCGUAAUCGAUGACAUUCUAGUGGUGUAGGUAAUUUUAGCUGGCAAUUUUUAUGGUUGAGUAAGAUUAAAUUAAAUUAGAGUAUUCAGUUUGUAUAUAGUACAUUUGUUCCAAAAUAUAGCAACUUUUGACAUCAUUAUAUUUUGGGACAAAUGCAGUAUUAUAUAUAUGCAAAAAAAAAAGUAGAGGAAAAAAAUUCAAUGUGAAAUUAAUGAACUAGGCAUGUGAUUAUUUUUUUCAGUAUGUCUCUAUAUAUGUCUAAUAUAUAAAUCAUGGCAAAUGAUUGAAACUUUGAAGUAACGUUGGUGCAAAUUAAUACAAAAUUCUAAAAAUUGCUAGAAAAAUAUAAAGAUGAGUAAUGGCAUAUAUAUUUUAUAGAAAGUAUAUAUAUCAGUUCUUCAUGAAUAAAAAAUAUUAAGAGACCAAACAUGGAUUAAUUAGUAGCACAACUAUGGAUGCACAACCUUAGCAUCCCCUUUAACUUUCCUCAGUAGUGCGACCAAUUCCAGGCACUGCACAAUUUCUAGAAGCUAGCUACCUGUGCCUGGCCUUGCCCUGGCCUCUUAAUUGCAGCCAUUUAUUUAGCAUUCACAGUUAAAAUAACCCACCUUGUGAUCCUAGCCAAUGGGGGGAUAUCUCUCCCCUCCUAACUAAAUAAAGGAAGGAAGCAAUUAAAGGAAAGCCAACUUGCAAAGGCACCAACAAAAGACCCCUCCAUUUCCAUUCCUCCUCUUCCUCUCUUCUCCCCCCCCCUCCAAUAAUUCAACCCCCUCUUCUGGGAAACCUGGGAGCUUUCUCCUUCAAGAGCUCCCUGCUAGCUAGAUCUCCUCCUCUCUUUCUCUCUCUCUCUCUCUCUCUUUCUGUCCAUUUCUAUCUGUGCUCUCGCCUGAGCGGCGACAAUCCAGCUGAGAUCGAUCGAUCGAUCGAUGGGGAGGGGCAAGAUAGUGAUCCGGCGGAUCGACAACUCGACGAGCCGGCAGGUGACGUUCUCGAAGCGGCGCAACGGGAUCUUCAAGAAGGCCAAGGAGCUGGCCAUCCUGUGCGACGCCGAGGUCGGCCUCGUCAUCUUCUCCAGCACCGGCCGCCUCUACGAGUAUGCCAGCACCAGGUCAAUGGCUUCUCCCUCCGGCCCUAGCUUAUUAGCUUUUCUAUAGAUUCCGUUCUUGCUUUGGCUUAUGAUUAUUAGCAUGUUUUCCUCGAUCGUCUUCAACUCUCCAUGCGUAAACACUUUAUUUGGUUGGCAUCUUUCUUCUUAUUAUUGUUCUCCGUUUCUACGGUUUUUUUUUCUCUCCAUGAAAGAUUAGAAUCUUAUGAAUGAGUUUUACCUUUGACAGCUUCAGUAGUACAAAAGGUUAUCGUGAAAAUUUUAUAUAUAUUUUUUUUUUGCAUCUUUGCACCUAUUAUUCCCUGUCAUAUGUAUACAUAUACAUCGGCCAUAAGUGUUUAAGAACUAAUGCAUGUGUCAGGUUCUUCAAUUUCCUGUUAGUCUCAGAUUAACUACUAGUUGUUCAUCUUUGUUUUUAACCUUCUUCUAGCUAGGGUCCCCCUAUGUAUGGCCAUAUGUCAGUUGUGUGUUUACUAUUUUGUCAUGCAUAUUUUUCGAAGGAAUAAAUAUGUCAACUAUGCUUUGCAGUGAAGCAAUAAUUGAUCUAGCACUCUUGGAAUAAAAUUGUGUGAUAACUGUACACUUAUACGUAUGAUUUCUGCUCACUUCAUAUAAUUGUUAAUUUACCCUUUUUGCCGUACUCUUACACUCAAAAGCUAGCACACGCAUGCAUGUGCUUUCAGAUUACAAAAAUAAUCUUAGUAAGAGUUGUGCCGGCCAUUCGUUUUGUGCAGCAUGAAGUCAGUGAUUGAUCGAUAUGGGCGAGCUAAGGAGGAGCAGCAGCACGUCGCAAACCCCAACUCGGAGCUGAAGGUAUGCCUUGAUGACUGCAACUAAACAUAUUUCUUCUUCUGCCGAUCUCUGUCAUUUGUGUUGUUUAGGAGUUUUGUAGCGUCUUCAUAUAUAUAACAGAGAACUAACCUUUCUAAACUCUAACCUGAGAGAAAUUAACUCAACAGAGAUUAAUAAAAAAAGCAUGCAGGAGCUAGCAAGUUGUUCUAAUUAAUGCAGUACUUAACUAAAAAUAAGAACAGAGAUCGAAAUAAUCCUUUGACAUCAUCUAUUCAUUUGGGUUAGUUCCAGUGUUUUGGUUGGACAUAUGCACAUGCACUACACCCCCUGCCGGAAUACUAUUUAUCUCUUUUCAAGCGUAAUUGAACAAGAUAAAUUUGAUCAUCGCACAGAUGAAAGCCUGAUUAAUUUGGUUUCCGGUGGAGAUAAAUUUGUCAGUGCUGUUUAUUCAGAAUUCACAAAUUUCUGCGACAGUAUGUCUGAAGGAUAGUUUCCCGAUAUCUGACCGUCUAUGAUAUGCAUAAUUAAUUUUCCCACUAAUACUGUUUGAUAUUUCAAACAUGCACAAACUUAUAAAUGUUCAAUAUUUUCAUCGUGUUGACAACAUCCUUUAUUUUCCUUCGUCUACAUCAUCUCAACUGUUACCAAGAAAUUAUUUUCGAGUAAGGACACAUCAGAGUUUUUCAGUUAAAAUCUCCGUUGUUUUGAGUGAAUUAUGUAAUAAGAGAUAAUUAGGCAAGUUUAUAUUUGUAGUUAUACGUAGAGCGGGAGUGUUCACUUCAAUUAUCUUAAAAGAAAACACAAUCAAGGUUCUCUAAUUUUACUGUGCAUCAGUUAGGCAAGUUUAUAUUUGUAGUUAUACGUAGCAAAACUAAGGCACAAAGUACAGGAAAAUGGCUUUAAUUAGCUAGGCUUUUAAUUUAAACAGGCCAGGAAAAAAAAAACUACCUACUGCAUGUGUACAUUGCAGUAACUUUGUUAUCGGAGCUAUUGCCUAUUUAGCUAGCACUUAGCAGGAUGCAUUCCCAUUUUGGUCCAUUAGUGACACCUUUUCACCAUUAUUGCAUGUAAGCACAUUGCUUCAUCCUCUACGUUAUAAUUCGCGUGAUCUGCAUGCAUGUAUGCAUAUACAAAAACAAUGGUCGUGUUUAUUAGGUAUACUAGAGGGGAACCCCCAUGCGUGUUGCCGCGGAAAAAAUGUAUGAGAUAAGUAAACAUGAGAUGCAAAUUAGAUUUGCUUUAUUUUAAAUGAUUGGACAUCAUAUAAGUAAAUAUCAUUUAUAUAUUAUAUAUCAUGCUAAAAAUAUUAAGAUAAUGUAUCUUCAUAUGAGAUCAAAGGGUACAAAUAAUUGAGAUGGUGUAUUAAAAAUGCUAGAAAUAAAUUAGAUGUGUGUAUACCUAGAGAACAUAGACAAUUUACAUCGUAGAUGAAUGAUCCAAAGGCUACAAAUAACUAGGAUGAUGUGGCUUCAGGAGAGAAGAGAGAAUUAACAUUAACUAUAUAUAGUGAUGAUGAACCUUAUAAGUACCGAAUACUCUCACCAAAGACAAUCUUUAGCUUGGUAUCAACAAAUGUAGAUGGACAUGGUAACCAAGCAUCUCUAUAUUCAUAUAAGAGGAAUUUCAAAUAGUUCUUGAUAGCCUAUCCACGAUGAGCUUUUAUGUUGUAGUGGUGUCUCCUCUGUCCUUACUCUUCAACCAACCUUCCAAUAAGCGAAAUGUUUCCUUAGUUGAUAGACCUAACAAUGCCUACCGUGCAAGCAAAUUCUACCAUUGGUUUUGCCCUAUUGGGAUAUAAGGUAGCUUUGGAUGGUAUAUAAGGAGUUAUCUUAAGAAGUAGUGCCAACUUAAGUAUAUCUAGCUCAUCCCUUCAUAGGUGCAAAAUUAUGACAUAGGCAUGUAAUGGGUAGAGGCAUGCUAUAUGAAGGUAGCAUAGCUUGCAGAACAUAUUGCAUUCUCAUCACCGUGACUCAAUGAUGUUGACACUAGUUAGUAAGCCAACCCUUUUUUUUUUCCAAAAAAAAAAACUAUAGCUAGUAGCUCAACUCAGACUUAGUAAUUUAUUUGUGAGUUUUCUCGGGAUAAACCCAAGGAAUAACAAGGCUUACAACUUUUAUUACUAACUACAUUUGUGAUGAAAAAAGUAAGCAUUGUUUGUUGUAAGAGAAAUUCUACGUUUUACGAUUGACAAGCGACAUGUCCUAUAAAUUGGCAUCGACGAACGUGAGUUCUACGAAAUACAAAAUACCUUGGUACAAGCAUUUCUGUCCCUUUUUAUCAUCGCCACUAGGUUUCCAUCCAUAGACCUGCAUUCUUCUAAAAGGACCAUUCUGCUCAUAAAAAGAUCUCCAUUAAGUGUGCAAACAUUUUUUUCAUACAGUUUUUAUCAAAUUCUAGGGGCAAAUUGGUUUUCUAAAGACUUAAUGGAGGUUUAUGGAUGGAAACCUAAUGGCAGUGACAAAACGAGAAAAAAAACACUUGUACGAUGAUAUUUUUCUAGAGCUCGAGCUUUCUAAUGGCAACUUUUAAAAUCGGUAGUUUGUCAAUAACGAAACAUAUAAUUUCUCUUGUUUUAAAUGUUAGUGAUGUGGUUUUUUGCAUAGUAAAUGUACAUUGACAAUGGUAAGGAAUAAAUAUGUAUUGGCCUUCUCAACUCUUAGUUGAUUACACUUGAAUCAAGUUUUUUUUAACAAUAGAAUAAAACCUAGUCUCUACAGCAACAAAGAUGGUAGCCAAUAACUUCAAAAUAAACAACCUCAUCCAUUUAUAUGCAUCCACCUACACCCCAAAAUCUUCUGAGAGCUCACCUUUUCACAAUGGCGAAAGCCCUUGUGCCAUUGAAUUGGGUUUGCCAAAUCACCACUUUCGCUAUCUUUCAUUUUGAGAGAAAAUAGAAACAUUUCUAGUCUUUACCAAGGUUACCAAAAUCAGGUGUUUGCUCCCCCUCUUUUGCUGUAGUGUGAGAAAUAAUCCCGCCUAAAACAAGUGAAUCUAUCUUACAACUAACAAGUCACACACGUCAUCUUUCUUAAAAAAAGGGAAAUAAAGAGGACAACAAAUCGGGUGAGGAUCCUCUACCAUAAUAUCACUAUACCAUUACGGUCACUUAUAUGUGAGUUCCGCUUUCUUAGUGUUACACAUAUCAAUGUCUAUAAUGGUAGUGUCAUUAUGGUAGAGGGUGUAAACCCCAACAAAUCAUUGUCGCGAACGCAGCUAUUAGCAACUAGAAUUACCCUAUGUUGCCUUCCUCAAAGACUAGCAUUGAUUACCUUAAUCGACUUUCUUGUCCCCGCAUGGAGAUUAUAUGCUUACUGCAACUGUGCAAUAAGGAUCGAAGCAGUCUAGGGCAGAUUCGCAACCCCAGAUUUUGAUUCGAUGAUCUAGAUUAUGUAUUAAAGAACAUUUGUGUAAACCUAGAUUUCUCAUCAUGCAUUGCUAAUGCAACUGCUAAGUUGUAGUUAUACUAGCAACCACACCAGAUCUUGGUCCCCAGUCCCCAAGCCAUAAAAACUACCACACAUGUAAAGGAAUAUCUUACCUUCUAAAUUACUACCUCCAUAUUUUAAUGUAUGACGCCAUUGACGUUUUGUUCAACGUUUAAUCAUUCGUCUUAUUUAAAAAAUUUAUGUAAUUAUCAUUUAUUUUAUUAUGACCUGAUUCGUUAUCAAAUGUUCUUUAAGCAUGACAUAAAUAUUUUCAUAUUUACAUAAAAGUUUUGAAUAAAAUAAAUGGUCAAACAUUGGUCGAAAAGUCAACGGUGUCGUUUAAAAUACGGAGGGAGUACUUUUUAUCAUUUAAAAUUUGAGGAUUUGUCCAAACGUCGAAAUUGGAUAAUAAUGGGUGACAAUCAACUUUGCCAUUUUGUCUUUCCAAAAAAUUUUCCGUUAAAGUACGGCUGAACCAUUUAAGCCCUCUCGCUUUGGUUCUUUUGAAUAUUUUUAUUGUUUAAGCCGCUGUUUUUUAAACCUUAAGUAGUAGACUGUUAGCUUCACAUAGACCAGAAAAGCUACUGUAACCUAGCUUUUAGCUUAACAUAGAGUGACUUAUGACCUUAAAAAAUACAAACGAAAAAAUAUCUAUUUAUUUAGGUUUAAACAUAAACAAAAGAGGGCCUUAAUCAACAAACAGCCGGAUGCUCAUGCUCAUGUGUCGUUGAGAGGAUCCCACUCGAUAAUCAAUUGGCUUAAUAAACUCAGCUAGAGGGGUAAAAUAUCGAUCAGUAGAUCACACAGAUAAUAAUCCCUUUUAUCAGAAGCUGAUUUCCUAUAAGAAAAAUGUAGAGCAGCCGCAUCCACGAUGCGCAAAACAACCAAAAGGGCAAUAUUCAAUCCACCGAACACCCUUCAGGAUAAUUCGUAUACAAAACUUGCAGGUACACAACUAAUUAUGGUCCAAUUCCUAAGCUGCGUAAACGGUGGAAAUGUACAUACAAAUUGUCAAUCGAACAGUCCUCAUGCCAUCGAAAUGCUUCUGAAUUUAGUUAAAAUAAAAUGCUUCUGAAGAGAACCAUCCCAUCACAGCUCGCAUACAGAACACCCUGCUUGAAUUCAGAGGAUAAAAACAUCAUUAUAACAAGAAAACUAACAAAGAAUCACAAGGGGCACGUACCUGUUAAAUCUGUGUUAAAUCCUCUUAAAAGGAUCAGUACUGCAUCUUUAAGUUCACAUUGAACCUUUUGCUUCGGUAACAGCUGACAGAUCUGUACAGAUUUCAGACUAACUGCUUAUCUUUCACCGCAAUAAAGCUUGUACCAGGAUGAUAUAAUCAUCACUUACCUGACUUGUGCACUCUGCAGAUACUUUGUAGUUAAUCUAGCUUGGUGGGACUUGGGAGCAUUUUGUUUAGACAAACAAGUUUUUUAUCUGACUUGUGCACUCUGCAGAUACUUUGUAGUUAAUCUAGCUUGGUGGGACUUGGAAGCAUUUUGCUUAGACAAACAAGUUUUUUACCUGACUUGUGCACUCUGCAGAUACUUUGUAGUUAAUCUAGCUUUGGUGGGACUUGGAAGCAUUUUGCUUAGACAAACAAGCUUUUUACAAUAGGGGGUAACACCCCGCAAAACGAGGACUGAUAAUGGAGUACCAAAUUCAAUAGAGUUGGUAGCUCAUCGUCUUAUCUGGAAAAAAAACUGUCUUCAAACUGGAAAGAUAAUACUACUUCCCUUAUUUGUUUACAACAAAUUUCUUUGUUUGCCUCUUGUUACUUCUUUUACCAUACACAAUAACUUCCUCAGUUCAAAUAGUCUUCUUGUCUAAUGUAAUUGAGUUUCCUUUUUUUUAAAAAAAAACUAGUGAGUUGAUAACCCAGCAUGUUUCUAUGGGUAUACACAACAUAUUUAUAUUGCUGCUUUUGGCAAACCUGGAUUCUGCAUUUCUUGACUCUGUUUUCAUAUCCAAUAGUUCUGGCAAAGGGAGGCAGCAAGCUUGAGACAACAACUGCACAGCUUGCAAGAAAAUCAUCGGUAUGGCCAUAAAACCCUGCAAGUUUUUCAAUGUUCCAUCAGAAAAUUCCUCAAGAUAGAAAAACAUAAACCAUCAUAUAUCUACUACUAUGAAAUACAUGCAUCAUGAACCCUUGAUGAUGAACUUUUUUUUUUUGUGGGGACUUGCUCAUGAAUCCAGCAACUGCUAGCGACAAUAAUACUUCCAGCACCUGAUUGUAUAGUAAAUAUAAACUAGUACCAGAUCAUAAAAACAAGCACCUAGUGCUUGGGUAUAUGAUACUUAGAAAAAAGAAGAAAAAACAGAGUAUGAAAGUGAUAUAUGCUGAUUCCAAAUUUCCUAUAGAUAAUGCAUUGUUUAACCUUCACAAACAAAAGAAAUGAAGAAGGCACGUGAAUUUUCUAUAUCAUUUAAAAGUAAGAAAUAUAUACCUUCAGCCAUUCGAUUUUUAUGCAUUUCCGGUUAUCUCUAAAAGAAAAACAGAACUGAGCACCCAUCAAAGGCGGACAGACCAAAUUUACAAAGGAGAGUGAAUAUCACAUUUUCUUCACCUGUGCUUUCUGCCUGGUAAAUUAUUGUUCAAACACUCCAUUUUGUCCUUCAGGCCUAAUUUACAAUACCUAAACUAGAAAGGUACAAAUUAUUUUUAUUAUCAAUUAACAGCUGUCUGUUGAUCAGCUAAAAUUAAGUGUCAAUAUUCACUCUGUAUAUCAUCAGAACAACACUAUAACAUCCAUUGGUUGAUGGCAGGCAGUUGAUGGGGCAAGAUCUUUCUGGAUUGGGUGUCAAGGAACUGCAAACUCUAGAAAAUCAGCUAGAAAUGAGCAUACGCUGCAUCCGGACAAAAAAGGUCAACCUACUAACCAUAUUUUUUUGUUGGGCACCUGAUUGAUUAUAUAAUGGAUUAACUUAAGAUCAAUAUUGUUGUUUUCAGGACCAGCUCAUGAUUGAUGAAAUCCACGAACUGAAUCGAAAGGUUCUACAACAUCAUGUACAAUUGCUAAAUCUUUGAAUCAGCUAGUAAGCUAACUCUAUUGCUGGCUUAUUUGCAGGGAAGUCUCAUCCACCAAGAAAACAUGGAACUGUACAGAAAGGUCAACCUGAUUCGCCAAGAAAAUGCUGAGCUGUACAAGAAGGUACUUGAUAAAUGCAGAUAGAUGAUUUCACAGGAUAUACGCUUCAUUAUAUGAUGACAGCUAAUCUCUCUCCUCAGCUCUAUGAGACAGGGGCAGAAAAUGAAGCGAAUCGAGAUUCAACAACUCCAUACAACUUUGCGGUUAUCGAGGAAGCCAACACUCCUGCUCGUCUUGAACUCAAUCCCCCAAGCCAACAAAAUGAUGCUGAGCAAACCACACCUCCUAAACUAGGGUAACUCAGAUUUUCUGCACAUGAUCCAUCUAUCCAUUCUCAGUUCUUUAGUGAAACAUCAAUUAUAACUUAAUGAAAUUAUUGCAGGCUCCAAUUGCAUCCAUGACAAUUUAUGGUGUGGAAGUGUUGCCUAUAUUUUCACUAUUCUUAAGGGCUACAGUUCAGAGCUCUUAAAAUGUAUUGGUCAUAAAGAAGCUAACACAUAACAAGACACAGUUUGCAUGCUUGGAUGAUUAAUAUCUGAUACUGUAAAAUCUAUUCGAAUAAAAAUGUAUUAUCUGAAGAGCCCAUGAAAAUUAUUUUCUUAUGACUAUUUGGCACUAUCUGCAAGUUUGUUUACCCAAAUGACAGCUACAUGUGUGCAAACUUAUUGGCAAAAACAAACAGUGCGCGAAGUGUAGAGCAUGCAAGAUCAAUGCUCUGUUUUAUCUUAAAAAGCCAUAAGCAGACAGAAGAGAUGAAAAGGCAUUAUAAUUUAUCUGUGCAGAUGUACCAGAACAAGAAAAGUAUCAGCAAGAGCGACGCCAGGGGGCGGAGGGGCCUGGCCUCUUCCCACCCCCUCCACCCUUCUAUUCUGCUGAUGGAUUAGCUAGGCACUGUGCUUGCACGUAUGUAUGUUUAGCAAGAGCGAUAAGGUCUUUACUCUAGCCUUGUAGGCACACAACACCAUCUAUUUCCUUUUCCUUUUAGAAUACCGAGUAAUAUGUACUAAUCAUUUGUAUUAUUUACAUCACUAGGUGGCUAACAUUGAAAUUUUAAAUUUCUAAAAUAUUAGUUAAUACUUGUAACAGAUGGAUAGUUUGUUGCUCUUUUUGCCAUAAUCUAGUUCUUAUUUUUUGUUUAUUUUUUUCCUGUUUACCUACACUUUUAGCUUGAAUGGUACAAUCACUGCUUAUAAUCUGUCUGCUCAUAAGGCUAAAUUAACCUGCCUGUGUUUUAAAUUGUCGUGUGUUUUUUUAUACUGAUACGGUAUAUUACCUAUGGGGAACAUUUAGAUUAGCAUAAACUUUUCUACGCUAUUUUUUUUAUAAUCUUAAUCACUUAUAAAGCUGGGCCCCCUCAUACUUAGAUCCUGGCUUCGCCACUGGGUAUCAGCGUUCAAUCUUUCUUAAUAAUUUUAGACACAUGUGCUCAUUAAAACUUUUCUUACUGUUCUAAGAAAUGCUCGCAAAUAGUACCUUUAGCAAAACUUUAUACACAUAAAAUAAUCAGAAGCACAUCAAUGUAAUAUGUCCAGAAAGUUUAUAGCGAAAGAAUCAUUUUGUCCAGGACCCAAGAACUUGGACCUUACACCUCUAAUUGUGCCUCUUAAAUACCCAUGCACUUUCAUGUUACUAACUUAUACCACCGGAUAGAAUGAUUAUUAGUUAUGUAUAUCAGAAAAACUAUUUUAUACUAGGCACGAGACCUUGGGUAAUAAUUACAUCAUAACUUGUUUCAAAUAAUUCUUGGAAUUUGUAAUGUGUACUUCACUAGGUUGGGAGCGCCUAAUCCCCCGAGAUAUGAAAAUGAAAUAAUGCAUGCAAAGACAUGGAAAAUUUCAAAAAUAAAGUAACAUUCAUGAACAGUUCCAAUAAUAAUAUUAACAUACUACCUCCAUCCCAAAAUAUAACUUUUGGCUAUGAAUCUGGACACACAGUUGUCCAGAUUCAUAGCUAAAAAUGCUUAUAUUUUGGGACGGAGGGAGUAGAGUAUGAUGGCAUCUACAAGGAGACAAGUGUCAAAGGGAGUGAAUUAAUCAAGUUUUAAUAGUGUGUGGGGUAGAGAAAAGAAUGUUAGAUACUUAGAACAUAAUGGAUGGUAAUCCAGUUUGUUGAAUUUUUAAAGUUCUAUGCAAACAUAAAUGCAGUAUAGAAAGUAAAGACAAACGGUAAAUACCAAUUAUGUACAAGACAUAAUGUAAAUUAGAUACUUAGAACAUAGUAGUUUUAUAUAGAACGGUCCAUGUGUUCAUUCAUAUACCUUGAUAGGUUGAAGGUAGAUCCUUCUGAAGAUUACACCAAGGACUUGGUACAACACGUUCGUAAUUAUACAGGUACAUGACUCUCACAAGGACUCUUACAUAGACUCUCACACUUAGAAUUUCAUAAGUCUUUUAUUUAGGUUAUAACUAUAACUAUCUACUAACACUUAGAUGGAGUGAAGUGUGAUGGCUGGUGGAGAGGUGAAGAGGAAUGGUUGAGUGAGAUGUGUUGUGGUUGUGUUCCUGAGCCCCUUAUAUAGGACUCGGUGAAGAAUCUUUAUGAUAUCUCCAUUUGACUUUAAGGGGUUUUAUGAUUAUCCCUUUAGACUUCACGGAGAGAAUCUUUGGUGAUGACGCUUUUGACCUUCAAUAAAAGUAUCAUAAUAUCGCCUUUUGACUAUAGGCAUAUCUUAUCUUGAAUAGUGUAGAUUCCUUAUCUUCAAUAGUGUUUUUUGUCGAGGAUAACAAGAUCUUCAUUCAUUAUCUUCACCGUAUAAGUCUUCUACAGACAUCUUUUACAACGUUCCUAAAUCAGAUUGAAGAAUCUGAUCUAGUGUUGCAUAGAUAGAAUUGACAAGACCACGAUCUAUAAUGGUUUGGAGAGGUUUGGAAAGAUAUUUCAUCUUGGUUGUUGUUUACACCCAAAUUUGGCACCUAGGGUCGAAAUAGGAAAAAUUGCGAAAGUUUGGGGCUCUGCCGGUUUCCUCCAGAAAGGGCCGGUCUGACCGCCAUAUGUGGGCCGGUCAGACCGCCGCCGGAGAGCCGGUCAGACCGGUGGCAUGUGGCCGGUCUGACCGGUAGAGUCUGAGUUAGACUCCGUUUUCGUCAGGUCUCGGGUGGUUGGCGACUCCAUAUCACCGCAAGGCGUUUAGGUGCUGCGAUCGUGCUUGUUGACUUGUCACAAAAAGUUGCUCUUGCCUUUGAUACCAGCUCUUGCCCAAACACCAUAUAUAUUGCAUAAUCAUCCCAAUUCCCUCCUUCCACAAUAUAUACUUCGGACCCAGCCAAUAGCACCAUGUAGACCGUGUGCCUACAAAGAUUCUUACCAAAAGAAACUUAAAGGCCAAAAUCCCAUGAGUACCGCAUAUGAAUAUCUCCAACCCAGAUUGAGCUUCAAGACAGAGCAAAUUUUAUCUUGCUUUGGGCAAGACAUCCUCGACCUUGUUUGGCAAAAGUUUAAAGAGAGACAAAUGAAAAUAUUUCAAGAUUAUUUCUUUCAUCUCUUAUAAGGCAGAGAAAGAAACCCAGCCAUACAAGUAAUCAUAUACAUGCUUCCUAUCUUAAGGUUAGAUGAUCAUCAGGUAAUCUCUGACCCAUCCUAUAGAUUCAUGGUUCUCAAAGCCGAAAUAAAUCUCCAAAGAUUCCGAAACUUACCCACAUACAACCAUGAUGAAAUAUCUCUCCAAACCAUUAUAGAUCAUGGUCUUGUCAAUUCUAUCUAUGCAACACUAGAUCGGAUUCUUCAAUUUGAUUUAGGAAGCGCUGUAAAAGAUGUCUGUAGAAGACUUAGAAAUGGAAGAUACAGGAUUAUCUUCUCCUCCAUACCACCUAAAUUCACACCACAUGCUCGUCCAGCAAUUCACUAUAUAUAUAUAUAUAUAUAUAUAUAUAUAUAUAUAUAUAUAUAUAUAUAUAUAUAUAUAUCAUGAAUAAACAAUUUAAUUUUCAAGAAGGCGGUCCUAGCAAAUUAUCAGAUGAACAAGAAGAAAUGUAUACAAUGAUUGCAAAUCAUGAGAAUUGGAGAUUAUUUUCUGAAGCUGCAGAAAUUGAAGAAGCUAUUACCAUAGAUUAUGAAUAUCAGUUGGUUUUCCAAAACAAGAUCACAAGGAUUUUUAUUAGCAGAUAUUAUAACCAAAGUUGUGAAUAUUUCAAGGGAGCAGGACGUAUAAUUAAACCAGAUUUUACUACAGAAGCCUGGCUCAGUGGUAUCAGAAAACAGAGCCAUCAAAAAUUGACAUGAUGCAAUUGGCACCCAUGAUAUACAGUGAAGAUAAUGAAUGAAGAUCUUGUCAUCCCCGACAAAAAACACUAUUGAAGAUAAGGAAUCUACACUAUUCAAGAUAAGAUAUGCCUAUAGUCAAAAGGCGAUAUUAUGAUACUUUUAUUGAAGGUCAAAAGCGUCAUCACCAAAGAUUCUCUCCGUGAAAUCUAAAGGGACAUCAUAAAACCCCUUAAAGUCAAAUGGAUAUAUCAUAAAGAUUCUUCACCAAGUCCUAUAUAAGGGGCUCAGGAACACAACACAACCAAAACACAUCUCACUCAACCAUUCCUCUCACCUCUCCACCAGCCAUCACACUUCACUCCACUCCAUCUAAGUGUUAGUAGUAUAGUUAUAACCUAAAUAGAAGACUUAUGAAAGUCAAGUGUGAGAGUCUAUGUAAGAGUCCUUGUGAGAGUCCUGUACAUGUAUAAUUAUGAACGUGUUGUACCAAGUCCUUGGUGUAAUCUUCAGAAGGAUCUAUCUUCAACCUAUCAAGGUAUAUGAAUGAACACAUGGACCAUUCUAUAUAAAACUACCAUGUUAUGGUAUUUACAGUUUGUCUUUACUUUAUGUACUGCAUUUAUGUUUGCAUAAUUAUUUUUUAAGAAAAUCAACAAACUGGAUUACCAUCCAGUUGCCACAUACCAAUCUCACAUCCAACAUUGCAUCUAGAUGCUGCAUUCCUAUCCUCAUAUCUGGUGACUAGACCCCUAGCACUGCCUGGGCAAGAGCUGGUAUCAGAGCCAAGUGCUCGUAACCUCCCCAAGCCAUCUUCUCCGAAAGGGGGAGGGGGGAGGGGGGGGAGAGAGGGGUCGGGUAGCAAAUAGUACUUUUAGCAAAACUUUAUACACACAAAAUAAUCAGAAGCACAUCAAUGUAAUAUGUCCAGAAAGUUUAUAGCAAAAGAAUAAUUUUGUCUAGGACCCAAGACCUUGGACCUUACACCUCUAAUUGUGCCUCUUAAAUACCCAUGCACUUUCAUGUUACUAACUUGUACCACCGGAUAGAAUGAUUAUUAGUUAUGUAUAUCAGAAAAACUAUUUUAUACUAAUCACGAGACCUUGGGUGAUAAUUACAUCAUAACUUGUUUCAAAUAAUUCUUGGAAUAUGUAAUGUGUACUUCACUAGGUUGGGAGCGCCUAAUCCCCCGAGAUAUGAAAAUGAAAUAAUGCAUGCAAAGACAUGGAAAAUUUCAAAAAUAAAGUAAAAUUCAUGAACAGUUCCAAUAAUAAUAUUAACAUACUACCUCUGUCCCAAAAUAUAACUUUUGGCUAUGAAUCUGGACACACGGUUGUCCAAAUUCAUAGCUAAAAAUGCUUAUAUUUUGGGACGGAGUGAGUAGAGUAUGAUGGCAUCUACAAGGAGACAAGUGUCAAAGGGAGUGAAUUAAUCAUGUUUUAAUAGUGUGUGGGGUAGAGAAGAUAAUGUUUUGGUGAUUAACUACACUAGCAAAAUAAUUUAGCGAUAGUAAUAAUAAGACUUACGAUUUUCUUGCAAGAUAUGCAGUUGCUGUCUCUAGCUUGCCGCCUCCACUUGCAGCAACUAGCAGAGAAGGCAAAGGAAGAAUUAGUCAGCUGGAUCAAAAGGGUCAUAUUUGAAAUUAGUUGCUAGUGCUAUUGGCAGUUAAAAAAAUUGCAAACAUACAACAAAAAGUUCAUUGGCAUACUACACAAAUAUUUGCUUAACAAAUUUAAAUGUUGCAGUAAUGCAGCCUUCCCCUUUCCCUUACUAUGAACCGCGAGAGUUCGUGUUAAAAACAAGUUUAUGUUUCAGUAAAAAACAAGUUGAUGUUUGCUCAAAAUGCAGAACUAGAAACCUUCAGUUGUAGCUCAAAUGGCAUGGAAAACUAUUUCCAUACAAAUUGUUCUACAAACUAGCUUUUGCAUUGCAUGUGUUUCUAGUAGCGGUGCAGUGCUACUACAAAGUACAAACUGUCCUGAAUAAUAAUAAUCAUCAGGAAAAUAGCAUGGAACUAGCAAAGGUUUUGUAUGGGAAACUUGGUUAAUACAAUUGUAUAUUCAGUAUUUCUUCACUGAAUUAGAAACUUUAGUAAAGUGGUAAAUGCUCAAAAGCAGAGGGCAUACAAUGUGUUCAUCAAAGCAUACAAAAGCUCAUAUCAGCGAAGAAAGAAAAACUAAAAAUCAGAGAUAUGAAGAAUCAACUGCUGUUCUCAGCUAAAUUCACCCCAUAGUACCAGUAGGUCAACCCACCCCCCCCCCCAAAAAAAAAAAAAAACUAAUCUAUUUGGCACUGGUAGGACAUGCUCAAAACAACUAUAUUCAUAAUUUAGUGACUAAUUUGACUGGCCCAUCAAACAUUAAAAGACAAUCAUGAUACAGGGCUGUAAAAAUAGAAGGCCUGAUCAUGUUGCAAGACAUGAGUUCACAACCAAACAGACACUACAAAAACUAGUCAACUCAAAUGCUCUGUUUCAAGAACUGCAUAAUGCAAGUGCUGGUCCAAACUCCAAAACUGUGAAGAUAACUUUGACAUCAGAUAAACAACACAUUGGGUAUGCAACUUAGUAUCUCUUUUGUUUUAUUAUCCUGCCAAUAGCAAGGAUGAUAUUUAUAUGAUGAGACAUGUAUUAACACUAACCAGACUCCAUCACACUAGUGUCAUGCUCAUGUCAAAAAAGAAUCCAAUAAUAGUAUAGCGCUAAUGGCAGAACAAUCUGCCAUGAAAUUUUCAUUAAGCUCAAUUUGUGCAAGGAGAAAAGGUUGAUAUAUAACACAGUCACAAAAAUACAACCUUGAGCACAAAAUAUUUUUCAACGUGUCUGUAAAAACUAAAUGUUUCCUUGUGCUGACAGCAGUGGGGAUAGGAACAUGAAAGUCUUUUGGCAAUGGGCUAUUGAGAAUGGAGUAUGUUUGGGCCAAGGCCCAUUUAGUGGUUGUUAUAAUCUGAGGUGUUAAGAUGAGGACCAUACAAAAACUGAGCACUGCUUUGUCCAAAAGAGUAGAUGAAAUAAAAUAGAGUUAUUUCUGUAUACUUUGCUUCUCUUCUAUCUUCUCAACUCCAUUCUGUAUUCACAUUGGUAUUGUUGCAUUGCGAUUGGGCUCAUCAGUCAUCACCUCUUGGGACGUGACACAAAAAUGCGGCAAAGAGAUCUUUUAGACAAUCUACUACUAGUAUCCCCACAUCACACUCAUACAUCCAACCUAAAAUUCACAAAGUUGUUGGUUAUGUUUCAAAUUGUUCACCAUAAUUACCAUCCAUCACAUUCUUUUAUUACUGGAAAGGUAUUAGUGUUACGGAAUCCUUUCCAAGUUCCAACAGUGAAAACAUUUUGGAAAUAAUAAUGAAGCAACAAGUCUAAGCAUGAAAACCAUAUGCUUUAUAUUUUUACUGAAUUAAUUCAUCAAUUCUCAAAUGGUCAGCCCACAUGCCAAUUUGACCUCCAGCAUUGGCAGAAUAUUUUGCAUUUUUAACUAUUUAUUCAUGCACCUCUAUGAAACUAUUGCAUGCCUAUCAACAAAAGUAAACUACCAUAAGAUAUACUGCAUAAACUCUUGAGUUCUACAAAACCACCAAAUAGACAUUCUAACAUGCAGACUGAAACUCAGUAAAUGCAUCUGAAGAAAUGUAACUACAGCCAGGAAGUUUCAGAAUAAAACAUUCUCUUGAAUGAAUUGUACUAUAUUAUGUCAUAUAGAAGGGAGUGUUAAACUUUAGCAGCAUGCAAGAGUAUAACUUUAGCAUACUCAUAUGUCCGUUACGCAUAAUGAACACAUACAUCCGACAUAUACACAGAUCAGAUAAACUGUGUAUACAUCCUCAGUUAGAAAACAUAUGUUACCACACUUCACAAGCCAAAACAAUUAUAAAUUAGUUCAAACUUAAGCUUUCAUUAUAUCAGAGUGGAUGUGCAGUACAUGACUACAUGUAGGGCGCUGACACUAAAGUCUAGAAAGAAGUACUAGAGGCAAUCUCGUUAGAGACCAAUACAAGAGUUAUCCACUUAUCCUAACCACGGUUAAAAGCAGCAAAAUCCUCCCAAAACAAAACUAAGUAAUGGCAAUUCUAGUAUCAGUGCAACUCUAAAAAAACAAUUAAUAAUGCACUCCCUGAUCAAGAAAGAAAAGAACUAAGCUAACAUUAACACUGGCAUUGACAACCGUACAUGAAACAAAACGCAUAAGCUGCUUGUAAUUUCAUGCUACAACGAAACUAAUCAAACUUUUCACACAAAUCACACCAAAACGACCGCACAGCUCGGGGCAUUCAGUUAACUCAGUAUCAGCAAUUAACAACUUAACUAUGCAAAAAAAAAUACAUAUAUAUGAGAGCCUGAGGAGAAGCUGUAAAAUCGGUGGAACGUCUCACCUGAGAAGCCGGCUCGAAGGUUGAACCCUAGAUGAAGAGAGGCGGGUCGCUAGGCGGCACAGAAUCAAAAUCAACGCAAGCAUAUCGGCUGGGGCUACAGCCUACAGGAGCGGCAAUGGGAGAAGCUAAUCGGGGAGCCAACGGCCACCACGAUCCGAGGGUCGUGGUCAUGCGACGGGCGGCAGCAAGCUAGAUAGCUACCUCCUACGGAAAUCUAGGGGGGGGGGGGGCAGAUGCCAUGGAGGACGAGACCGCGAUUGGCGCGAUCCUAUCCAAUCUAAGCGAGGGGGGGCUCCGAGAGAACGACGCGAAGACGACGACCGCCGCGAGGGGGGGGAGGCGAUGAUGGAUUUUGCGCUGGAUUUGGUCGGAUGCGACGGAGCGUGUGGUGGUGGUGGUGCUCUUUGUAGAUGAAGAGAGAGAGAGAUAACCCCCAAAGCAAAGCAGGCGCCCCCACGCCAAGUGGGGUGGGGUUUCCGGGGGAGUAAUAAAAAAUGCGGCGGACGAGCGGCGCUCCGGCGGCCACGUCGCCCCCGGCGCCAUUUUCAGAGGGGGGGCGCUGCUGCGGGGCACCCCGACAGGUGUACCGUCCGCCCACCCGCCACCGCCGAUCGCCGGCAAGUGGGCGCGUGGGUUGGGCCUGCGCCUCCUGCAUGCUCUGCCUGUCGAGAAGGCUCGCGAAGACGCGAAGGGGGCGCGUGCGGGAAAUCGGGAGCCGUCGGAUGGGGAGGUGGAUGGGCGAGAUCUUCACUGGCGGCGACACCUGUCCAGGAGAGAGAGAGAGAGGGGUUAGAUGGUCGAGGAACGGGAACUACCAACGCGCACGGUGAUGUUUUUGGAUGACAUUUUAAACAUUUCGCCGUACGUAUAUUAUUUUGUUUGCAAAAUGCAACUUGCCAAUUUUUGAUUAUGCAUUUUAAGCCUGUUUCGAGCGUACACACAGGAAACUAUUGAAAAUAUGAUGAAUAGGCACUAUUCAUGUCGAAGAAAAAAAACAUAGGGCUGCUAUGCGAAAUAAUUCUAUGUGAGCCAAUUAUUUAUUUUGUAUACAUUUCUACUCUAUUCCUACUUUUUUUUCUAUUUCCUGUGAUUUAAAAAUCAUCUUAAUCGAAGAGGCAAUGCUCACCAUAUCAACAAAUUUCAAGUACUCAAAAUGUACCACCUGCAGCUAGGAAUUUGUGGUAGAUAAUUAAUUCAGGGGCCCAAGUAUAUAUUGUCGUUGAAUUUUUUUUCAUAGUAAGAGGAAAUAUAACUCCCCAGCUCUGCACCAACUGCACACAACUAAAUUUAGAUAUCAAAAUUUAAAUCCCAAUAAAUGAAGUCAUGCAGGUACCACAACUAUAACACCAAUAGUGAUAAUUUCCUUGUUUUGCCUUUCAUAAUUUAUCAGAGUAUUUGAUUGGGCUUGGAUGGUACAAGUAGCUAGAUUGUUGAUGGCUUCAUGUAGACAUGUUCACCCAUAGAAAUUACGAACUCAUCGUAUAAUUUACUUCCUCUAUCCCAAAACAUACAACAAAACUAGUAAAAGAUGUCAAGGGCUUUUUUUUCAUAGUUCUUCAAAGGGGGAUCUCAAUUCUGGAAAAGACUGCAUGAGUGUAGAGUGGUGUUGGAGAGAUUAGUAAUGAAAGAAGUUCAUAAAGGGAUGGUGUAUAUUUUUGGACAGAUGUUUGGUGUGGUCAGUCUUCUCUAAAGGUGUUGUUUCCAAAGCUUUUUGAAAUCGGCUGUCAUCAAAAUACUACUGUGAAGGAUUUGUAUGAUGAGGGGAUAUGGAGUUUGGAGUUUAGAAGAAAUCUGGACAGUGUUGGGGAGGCUGAGCUGGAAGUGUUAAGAAAUAUGAUACAAGAUUAUGUCCUAGAGGGGGACAGAGAUAUGUUGAUCUGGCCUCAUAACAGCAAAAAGACCCUCACAACUAGAUUAAUAUAUAGAGAGAUUACUUUUGGGGGUGUAAGGGAUAUUGAGACGGUGAAUAUUUGGAAGAGUGAAAUCCCUUUAAAAUUUAAAUGCUUUCUAUAUAUGGCAGACAUAGAAAAACUUCCUUGUACAGUCCAAUUGAUUGAAUAAAAGAAAAUGGCAAGGAGGGGAUGAGUUCUUCAAGCUCUGUGGCAAGAUUGAAACUACUAAUCACAUUUUGUUUAAAUGCCCUUUAGCAAUGUUUACUUGGUGUGUGGUGAGAGAUGCUUUGGGGUUAACAAGUAAUCCGGUAAACAUUAGAGAUUGUCUGGGCUUGGUGAAUGUGUGUUGGAUGCUCUGGUUAACUAGGAAUGACCGGUUUUUUUCAGAUAUUUUGGUCAAGUCCCCUUUACAGAUCACUUUAUAAAUCUCUGUCUUUUAUUCAGUGGUGGUGCAUUCUGCUAAGGGAAAAAGAUCAAGCAAUCAUGAAAAGGGCGGUGUGAGCUGUUGAUGGGCAAACUGAACUGGAAACUGUUUUAAACACUCGGGUGAACGUUCACCCGUUUCUUACAUGUCAUCUAAAUGGUUAUGCAAAAUUUUCAAAAAAAUUGACAUGAUAGGUUAAUAUGUAAUAUAUCAUAUCACAAACAUAUAAGUUCAAAUUCGACUUCUACAAGUUGUAAUAAAAAUAACAAAUUUGACUGUGAAUAUACGUAUACUAGUUAGAGUUUAAUUUGUUAUUUUUGGUACAACUUGUAGAAGUCGAAAUUAAACUUGCAAGUUUGUGAGAUGAUAUAUUACAUAUUAACCUAUCUUAUAAUUUUUUUUGGAAUUUUUUCAUAAUUAUUUAGAUGGCAUGCAAGAAACGGGUGAACGUCUCCCCGAGAGAUUAGAAUCCAUCUCCCAAACUGAACCAAUUGAAGCCGUGCUGCCUUCCUGCAGUAGUUUAGCUGUGAAAUUUGCACUUGGCUUCUUUGUUAUGUGUUUCGAGCUCUAUCUAGGGUGUGAUAUCUUCGCUAGGAUGGAUGGUGCUUGCUUUUGAUGAGUUCCAGCGCUGUUUGUUGGCGUUAUGUUUCUGUUUUAUUUUGUUGCUUCUUUUUUUUGUGAGGUAUUUUGUUGCUUCUAUAUCUAUAUAAGACUCUGGUUGUUUAUUGGGCUUUCUACCAAAGCCGGGUCAAUGAAAUUUUGAUAUGUUUUAAAAAAACUAGUACAAGAUAUGAUAUCUGUGUAGAUUUAUAGUAUGAUGUGUGUAUUAAUUUCAUCUAUUUUAGAACAGAGAGAGUACACACGCGAGAGUAAGCCUCACGCUAAAAGCCUCCAGCAUCUUAUUAACUGAAAUCAUAAAACAUACUACAUAUUGAUCCAGUAGUCUUAAUACAUUGCCUGCAUCAUACUACUGCUACUACUCAUCAGAUGAAAGACAUAACCUCUUUGCAAUUUUUACACCCACGCAAAUCUGGCUGACACUGUUGCAAAGGCACAUAUAUAUAGACAACACAUGGUGGGUGCCCGGCCGAGGGCGAUGACGACACAAUAUUGCCAAUGGAAACGCACACAUCAGAGCUCAUGGCUCUCGCGACAAGAUGAAAUAUAGCAGAAGCUAAAAACAAGUUUGACGUCGACCUUGCACGUAGGCAUGCCCUGCCUACUGCUUGCUACGCUUCCUACGCACGCGCUAGCUUGAUCGGCGCAACGCAAGCCCACAUGCCCGCGGACGCAGACGCGCACUAGCGAGUCAUCCCCGGGUGCAUCUGCGGCGGGGCAGUCGCGACGCCCUUCCCCAUCCUCUCCAUGUUCCCCUGCCAUCCUGAAAAAUUCACGAACCGACGAACGAAUCAAUCUCAUCUGCAGAUCAAAGACGACGAACCAUGGCAUCGCCGUGGACCCGUAGUGUGGCUCGAUCGCUACAAAUCGACGCGAUUCCCCCUCUUCUCUAACAUACCGAGGGACAUGUCGAAGCCGCGGCUCUUGAGCUCGCGGUACUCCUGGCAGAGGGCGCAGGGCCCGCAGCACCAGUGGACGCAGCAGUCGCCGCAGGGCUUCUCCUGGAGCCCGUACUGCUGGUGCAGCCUGGAGCGGUAGCAGCAGGAGUAGGCGCACGCGAACCCCGUCGCCAUCGCCAGCAACAUAUACAGCGUCCCUCUCGCGCAGCACGCUUCAGUUCAUCAUGGCCAAACCACGCAUGCAGUUUGUUUAGCGAUCGAAGAGGUUGUUGGCCAUGAAACUUAAUUAAUCAGUUGCAGUGCGUGCGUGCGUCAGACAGAGGCGGCAGGCUUACAUGUGGCUCCCUGGUCGACGAUCUCCGCGAUCCUCCCGAAGGCGACGCACGGGCAGAAGAAGGUCAGGCAGCCUGCAUGCCGCGGCGUAAAUUGAAGUCACCGGAAAACGAUCGAGAUAGAUUGUGAGCAAGUGUAAUGAGUUCAAGAAGCUUACAGCCGCCGACGUCGUCGUAGCAGUCGCAGAGGCCGGAGGACCACGAGGCGACCGGAGGGUUGUUCGCCUCCCGCCGGGUAGCCGCUGGCCAUGGAUCGUCGAUCGAUUCCCGCGGGUGACUGGCUGCCGCGCGCACGCGCUCGGUGAAAUGCAAGAACCGCUCGUCGGUGGGCGAUCAGGUGAUUGGGGGGGGGGGGGGGGGGUGGUUUAUCAACGGACGGUGUGGUUAAUCAACGGACUCGUUUUUCACGUACGCGUCCGUGUAAGCCGCAACGCGCGAACGUCACGCGUCUGCACGAGCGUGUGUGAAUGUGUCCUAGGUUCGAUUGGAGAUACUUAGGUGGUCACCCCUCGCCGGUGCGAUCCAAAAGAUUCCAGGCUCCCAUGAGAUGGACUAUUAAAUCAAAGAAAAAGCUAAAAUUUAAAUUUUUAAACUUAAUUUUGAUAUUGAUUUUAAGAUAUUUUUAACGUAGUUUUUUUUUCAGUAUUAGCUUUUAAGUCACCGAGAAUACAUAUAUAAAAGUUUUAUCUACAAAUUCAUUUGUAUUCUCUAAUAAGCCGUUUUGGCUUAUUACGAAAAAAGCCAAACGAUGAGACCUCCAGAUCAAGUGACUACACGCACAAAAGUUACAUGAUUUUUGCUUUUCUGUAGGCGAUCGACUAGACGUGUAUACUGAUGUAUGCUGACCAACCGAUCGAGAUGAACGGAGAUACAGCUAAAAAUCAUGAGGGGGCUCUGAACCCCUAAACGUAGUAAGAACUGUGGCUGGCAUGGUAUGUUGUGGUAGGGUCGUCAGGGCACAGGCCAGGGGCGCCAGGCCCUUGGCUGAGCCGAGGGGCCCUAACGGGCGAUCGAUCGCCAGCGAUCGAUCCAAGCGAUAAGAUCAGCCCCCCCUCCCCCUAUAGGCAAUACCUCCUCCCACUCCUCCCCCUUCCUCCUCCCCUUCUUCUCUUCCUACUAUAGUACACCACAAAAUUUUUUAAAAAAAACAAAAGUUAAAAAGUUAGAAAAAUUUAUGUAUAGAAAUACUAUACAUAAAAAAUUUGAAUUCAAAUUCAAAUUUGAAUCGGGUAUGUAAACUUUUGACUUAUAAACUUUGGGUCUAUAAACUUUAGGUGUAUAAACUUUAAAUGUAUCGAAAUACUAUAUAUAGAAAAUAUUUGAAUUCAAAUUCAAAUUUGAAUCGGAUAUAAUUCAAAUUCAAAUUUGAAUCGGGUAUAUAAACUUUAGGUGUAUAAACUUUAGAUCUAUAAACUUUAGAUGCAUAGAAAUACUAUAUAUGAAAAAUAUUUGAAUUCAAAUUCAAAUUUGAAUCGGAUAUAAUUCAAAUUCAAAUUUAAAUCGGAUAUAUAAACUUUAGGUGUAAUAUUUCUAUACUUUAGAUGUAUAGAAAUACUAUAUAUACAAAAAUAUUUGAAUUCAAAUUCAAAUUUGAAUCGGAUAUAUAAACUUUUGACUUAUAAACUUUUCGUCUCUAAACUUUAGAUGUGUAAACUUGAGAUAUAUAAACUUUAGGUGCAUAAAUUUACUAAAAUAGGAAAGUAAUGCGGUGCCAAAAAAGGAAACCAGGUGGAGAGAGGGAGGGGGAGGGGGGCGAAUUGAUCGCUACCCCCACCCCCAGGCGAGCGAUCGCCCUUUAGCAUUUCCGGUCCAGUUGUCCACGAUCGCUCUCAUCUCCACGCACCACAGUCGUAGCUCGCCACGCUGUUGCGCAGAAGGGCUUCGGCUCUAUUAGUUGGGAGGCAACUCCGGCUCGGAUGUCCGAUGCUUUUGGGAAAAAUCGGACGCUGUUAACAACCAAAUUUGGUAAUAUCGACAUCGGGAAAGAAGAUUAGAUCGAAGCAAAGUCGGAGGCGGAGAUCGAGUUCGGAAACAGAGCAUGAAUCGACUGGAGUCCAGAUCGGCUACGAUUAGGAUCGGCUGGGUCUGAGUCGGGCUAGGUAAGCCGAUGCAGCCGAUUCCGACAAUGCAACUUGAUGUAUGACAUCGGGUUGAAUUGAGGUGCUUCAAGGUGAUUGCCGCACAUGGAUAGAGUCCUGAGAAGGCAAUUGUAUCUAUUAAUUAGGAUGUUUUAUGUAAUUUCCUUACAGAUAUGCUUGGGCAAAAGUCUGCCGCAAAGACUUAUGGUAUCUUAGAGUUUGUUAGAGAUAGUUGUCGUGUCCAUUAUGGACAUAUCUUGUAAUUUUCGGGUAUAAAUAGACCCGAGCCCUAUGUAACUUGAAAAAAAAAACACACACGUUCAAUACAAUCUCGGCGCAUCGCCACUUUUUUUGCUUUAGUUUUAUUUCAACGAGUUCUUGCUUUCGGGUUGAGCUGCAUCGGUUUCGAUCUUCAACAAGAGGUAAAACUUGUUAUGACGGCUUGCGUUCUCGGGAUUAGUGCUUCCAUCUUUAUGACACUCUAAUCUUGUUUAUGUAAUUCGUCAAGUUAUCAUAUAUCCUACAUAAUCCUUGGCAAUAUCGAUAUCCAACCUACAAUCGGCUAACAUCCGUCAAUAGAAGGCAGCCGAUUAGGUUAAAUACCGAUGUUGACUUAGAUUAUAUAGGAUAUCUACCACUCUAUGACACAUCCAACGGCUUGAUUGUCUAGAUAUUGUCAUUCUUUUCAUACUUAUAGCUGCAUCAGUUAAGUUUGACCUUAUGAGUCAUGAUUAGAAUCUUAAUCUCUAGCCCGCUUCUUGGUUGCUGAUUAGGGUAGUAUCGGAGUUUCAGCCGAUCUUACCUGAUUUAACUACUUUUUAUCCUAUAUGCUUAAUUGACAUGUUAAAUCUGCCCUUUAUGUUAAGAUCUUGCUGCAUUUAAGUAUAUUAGGCUUGUGUUUAGUAUAUUCUACUUGCUUUAAUAUCUUAAUAUAGAGUAGUAUCGGAGUAUUAGCCGAUACAUGCUAGAUCUAUCUGAUCGGCUAUGCUAUGAACGUAUAUAGUCUCAUUAUUAAUAUAUAUUUCGAUCUAAGUGAUUUAUACUGUCUCGGCAUGGCGACCGAUCUAUCCCAAUCACUUGAUUUAAGUAUAUACCGAUAUAAAGAUUAUAUAUUGGUAAUAUCUGCAGCCGAUCGAGUAGAUUCAGUCCUUUCUUAUUUAUUAAUGACUGCCGAUCGAUGCAUAUACGACAUCUGCUCAAAGAUAAAUGAUAUGUCAUCGGUACCUAGCCGAUUGGCUAUCAUUUAUAGAUUUAACUGCGGUUUCUUUGCUUCUAUUUCUUGUUGAUUACAGUAUCAAAUCAACUGGCACGCUCAUACAUUCGAAGGCGAGCUUUGAACCUGCACUGGAGUUAAGCAGAUCUCCCAGGCCUCGUGUUUUCUGUCAACAGACACAUGACGCCAGCAUCCGAUUUACGUGCAAAACUAUUUUAAACUGAUUUUUCUCUUAAAUUACUUAUCCAAAUUAUGAUCUGGUUGUACCGUUAAAUUCGUUGCAAUUAAAUCUUCUAAACAAGACCACACAUGGAUAUAUUCCGACGAAAUUUUUUUUAGCUUAUUAUUGAAUUAUUUUUAAAUGUUGUACGAUGUUACAACAGGUAUAUCGGAAUUGUUUCACUAAAUAGAUCAAAAAUGUUUCACUCGUUUAAAUCGGGUGUUGUUUCACCUUAUAUAAAAACAAUGUUUCAACAAAUAGCGAAAGAAUGUUUCAGUUCACUGCAACAUUUUAUCCAUACAUAGUGAAACAUUAUAAGUACACUAGGUGAAACAUUUUUCGGUGGAACAAAAAAUGAAACGAAUUCCCUUAAUAGAGAGUUUUCAAAAUAUGUGGGUUUUUUGUUGCAAUGGAAUAUUUCAGUUAACUGCAACAUUAGAUCAUAGUGAAACAUUGUGAGUACACUAGGUGAAACAUUUUUGGUGGAACAAAAAAUAAACCAAAUUCCCUUAAUAGGGGGUUUACUAAAUAUGUGGGUGAUUUGUUGCAACGGCGUGUUCCAUAAAUAUCAAAAUCCACUGCAACACUUGAUCCGUACAUAGUGAAACAUCGCGAGUACACUAGCUGAAACAUCGUAAAACUACUGGUUAAAACAUCAAAAGAGAUCAUAUGCAACAUUCAAAAAAAAAUAUCAAUAGAAAAGCUAAAAUAUUUUUUAUCGAAAUAUAAUCAUGCGUGGUCUUGUUGUAAAGAUUUAAUCGCAACGAAUGCAACGGUGUGAUCGGAUCGUAGAUUGGAUAAUUAGUUUAAGAGAAAAUUCAUUUUAAAACUAUAUGAAAUAGGAGCGGCAGAAGGCGUGGGUGUCCGAGGCGUCCAAUUUUUCCUACAGCCGUCGGGCGCCCGGCGCGCAGUAUUUCCCUAGUUGUGACUUGAGUCGUACGCCUGCCGUGGGGAGGGCUUUAGCACUCUUUUACCACGGCCGCGGAGUGCAUACGCCGCGGUCGAUAUGGCAGUACAGUCUAGCUGGCCGCCGUUCAUCGAACCGCUGUUGUUCUGCGUUUUUCUUCGUGGGCUGCAAAACGAGCGAAACCAACCAAACUCGAUCUGUCCUCGCCGGCCGGCCGGGACCAGCUCCGCAACUGGGGUGCGCUGAUGCGCAUGUGUUUGGUGUGGCGAGCUAAGCUACACUCCUUUCAUCCCUAUCCGUUCCAAAAGUAUGUUUUUGACAAUCACUCAUCCGAAUACGUAGUUAAAAUUAUUAUAUUUUUAAGACAGAUGCAGUACAUCUUUGUCUCUUCCAUUUAUCGCAAAAUAACUUCAUUUUUAUUCUCUUACAUCGUCUAUUUCAAUGGAAGUGUAUUUUUUUGAGCGAGGGAAAAUUAAUAGGGAGGAAAAAUUAUCCAGCUGCCCCUGUUGAAUAAGGGGGUUUAGAGAGAGAGUGGUUGAGGGUGAAAUAGAGAGAAAUUUAAAUAUGAUGUGAUUCACCGAUGGAGAAAAGGUUUUUAACCCUGGUCCCGGACUAAAGAUACCCAUCUUUACUCUCGGGUGAAAUACCUAAGACUAAAGAUCGAUCUUUAGUACCGGUUGGUAACACCAACCUAAAGAUGGGACUAAAGUUUUUUUUUCCUUUUUUGCCACUUGCAUCUACUGAUUUCGAGCACCACAAAUCAUUCAUAAAAUCAUCCAUAAAUCUUUCCACAAAUCCCCAAAUACAUCAAGCUGCAUUUUCUCCAUAUCCCAUUCACUCUAACCCUUACUACCAUCAUCAUAUCACAAGCACAUAAACAAAAAACGUGAACAGAAGAAACUAGAAAGAACCAUGAUGAACAAAAGACAUAAACGCCGAGGCCGUGCGCUGCCUCCCAUCCCGCCGUCGCGGCUGCUUCCGCUGCACCGGCUGCGGCCACCUGCCGCCUCCCAUCCCGCUGCCACGGCGGCUUCCGCCGCGCCGGCCAGCGCCUCCUACCGUGCGCCGCCUCCCAUCCCCCGCCGCACAGGUCACCUAUCGCCCGCCGGAGGGGAGGGGGCCGAAGGAGGAGAUGGGGCCGGGUGAGAGAAUGAGGGGAGGAGAGGAGGUGAAGAGAUAAGGUUGAGACUUGAGAGGACGGGUGAGAGGAGAUAAUGAGAUAGAAUAGGUCGGGGCAGUAAAUCGAAUUUUUUAGCGCGCGGUUGCCGAAUUUUUUUCCCGGUUGUUUAACAACCGAGACUAAAACUAGUUCUUUAGUCCCGGUUGGUAACAGAUAGUAGAGAGGUCUGAUACCGUCUGGUAUUUUUUGAACCGGGAUUAACAAUGAUCUUUAGUCCCGAUUGGUAAAAAAGUGUUGUUAGGUUUUUCAACCGGGACGAACGAUAUUCUUUAGUCUUGGUUUCUAUUUAAAUCGGGACUCUUGUGAUUUUUGGCCAACCCAUCAAAGAUGAUUUUCUCCAGUAGUGAUUAAUAGGAUAAGUAGUAAAUUGCACUUUUCUUGGCUGAAGAUAAUACUUAAUAUCGGUUCGCAAAUUGAUCUCUUUAUUCCUUCGAUACCCCUACUAACAUCUAACUUAUCAAACCAUUGAUAUUGGAUUAUUUUGUCUUCAUCUUAUUUUGUAUCCAUAAGAUCCAAGAUGAAAUUAUUUUGGGACGCAUGGAGUAGCCUAUACAGAUAAGGGCAGCUUCAGUUCUCGAUCAACUACUGCACUUCACGGAAGGCGAACAAAACUUUGGUUCGGUUUGACAGAUGCAACGAUAGCAUUUAUUUGUAAGACCCAUGUAAAAUACAAUUUUGCUUCCCUGUAAAAUAAUCUUGAUUAAGCCAUUUAGGUUUAUCCUUCACUGCUCUUCACCAAUACUCAAAUGAGAAGGGCUUCAAUGUUUGCUUCACCUCUUUGUAUUUUUCAUAAACCAACUCCAUAAGUUGCUCAUUAAAUUGUUCACUUUAAUAUAUGUGUUUUUAUUUCCUGUCCAACAUCCAUGUGACUUUGGAACAAGUAUGUUGGUUGUAUUUCAAUUAUUCUUGUACUGCAUAUGUGUUCUUUUUGUUCCUUUAAAGAUAUACGUGCUGUAUUCUUCUAUGACUGGCUUCCAGUAAUAAGGCUCCUUUAAUUGCCAUUGAUUGGGUCAUUGGAGUUGUUCAACUAAGCACUUAUUAACCACAUGUUGUCUUCUUCAGACCAAUGCGUGCACUCGCCUUUCUUUUCCUCAUCUGAACCAACAUCGCUCUAGCCUUCAAUCCUAUUUGGUCUUUGUUUGUAUUUUGUGUAGGAGCUAUUGGACAAGUAAUCAAAGAAACUAAGCCCUCACAUCUCGAACCACUACCACCAUCAACUCUAAACAAAGCUGCUAAACCAACUACUAAUAAUGGACCGAUAGCUAUACUAGGGGUGGGCAAAAUAAGACUGUACCGAAAAGACCGAGACCGAUAAAUUCGGUUAGUAGUUUGGUCUCAGCUAUUGAAAGACCAAAAUUUAUUCGGGUAAUUCGGUCAUUAGCCUCGGUUAACCGAAUUAACUGAGAAAACCGAAUUCUAGCCUAGUAGGCUCGGAGGCCCAAUAGGCCCAGUAAACCAAACCCUAGAGGCACUCAACCCUCAGGCCUCAGCCAUAGAGACAAGAGGCACCGCAAGCCACAGCGCUGCGCCGCGCCGCCAUCUAUCCUCAUCCAUCGCGCUCGGGCUCACGGUCUCGCGCGGCGCGGACCCGCGGUCACGCCGCCUCCACCCUCCGCGGCUCUGCCUCCAUCGUGCCGCCACACCGCCUCUGCCCUCCAGCCAGCCCGCCUCCACCUCGGCGCCGCCUCCAACAACAGCGAGCCCGCUUGCGCCUCAGCGCGACGACACCGCCUCCAGCGACAGCGAGCCCGCCUCCACUUUUUUUUUGUCUCUCUGAAUAUUUUUAAUUUGCUAGUCGCGUGUGCAGAUGCUGAGAUGCUUUGUCUAUCUAUUGAUAUAUUGAGUUGCUUUUUGAUUUGUCGAUCAAAUAUUUGCGGUUUGUUUUUUGUGAUUUUUUUUGUUCUAACUUCUGAGGACUUCUGCUCGGGUUAGUUCGGUCAUGAACGAGACCGAACAGAACUAACCGAGGACCGAAUUGUUCGGUCUUCAGUUUUGUUCAGGACCGAUCUGUCUUGAGUUAUUGAUUACCGAAAUUUUUAAGAGACCAAGAAACCGAACCAAACUUUUCGGUUAGACCGAAUGCCCACCCCUAAGCUCUACUACCCCAUGAAAAUUUCCAUGAGCAGAAAUACUAUGUUGAUAACUUUGAAGUUGGGAAUUGCCAGUAACCUGGCGGAACUUCAAAUGGGUUUAAAUUUUAUGGGUAGCGUUAUGGUUGAAAGUUGGGGCCAAACCGAUGGGAUGCUAUAUUCCUGUGUAAAUGGGGUGGGAAACAAUGGGAUUGUUGGUUGUUUUGAGAUCAGAAUUUGAGACUGUAGAGUUCAGAUAAUUUGUAAAACUAUGUAUAUAAUAUGGAGUCAUUGCCCAUUUUUGAGGGUCCAAAUUAUGAAGUGGUAUCGACAAACAAACAUGUUUACAAAUAUAGAGGAGAAGCCAACAAAGUUGGCCAACCAAUGGCUUGCACGAACCAUGAUUUAUUUGGCUAGGUUUGACGGAUGCGGCAACAGCCAUGUCUAACAAACAAUAUGUUUAAGGGGCUGUCUAUAUAGGAAUCGAAUGAUUUUUGAGGCUUGAAUCAUUCAGAUUUUGAUACCAUUGGAUCAACAUCUAACAGCUCACAAUAUUACAAGCCCAAAAAUAAUAUAUAUAUAUAUAUAUAUAUAUAUAUAUAUAUAUAUAUAUAUAUAUAUAUAUAUAUAACUUCAGAUUUUUUGACUUUUUUUUGACACCAUCGUAUCGGCUCAGCCCAAUCAAAGGCCCAUUGAGCCCAAUUAUAAACCCAGAUAAAAAAAAGCCCAAUUUAAUAUCAAACAAUAGAAAACUAAAAAACAAAUUUGCACAAAAAAAUCUUCAAUAGCCCAAUUAAAAGGGUCAGCCCAAUUAAAAGCCCAUUUAGCCCAAAAAGCCAAAAUUGGAAAACUUUACUGCACGUGAUUACAGCUCACGUUUUUCCAGCUCACGAUGUACCACUUCUUUCUGGAAUAGAGUACAUCUCCAAUCCCAGAUCAAUCUCGCGCCAUGGAAGAAAGUGAGGAGAAGGAAAAGCGAAGCUUACUCCACUAGAUAAAAGAUAUUGGAUAUGGAGAUAGUAAGAAUCAAAAUCCAGAUUCAAACAAGCCUUCAAAUCGAAAACAGAAGAGAUCCAAACCUUAAGAAAAGUUAGAAUGCAAGAAUCAACAAGAAGGUAGGAAAAGAAGAAAAGUUGCAAAUCAAAGCCAGAAAAAGUAAAAUGCUUAAUUCUUUGAAUUAACAGGACAAAUUCAAAAAUUACAGUAAAUUUCUAAUAGAAUUACAGUACUAUUAAACUGUAACUGCAAUAUGUUUGUACUGUAAAUUGAAAUACAGAGAACAAUCUGAAACUUAGUAAAAGUCAGCCUGUCUUAGUCAUGUAACAAUCUAAAAUCAAUUUGAAACUAAUAUGAAAAAUAUCUACGAGCAUCAGGAAAUCAGCCUCUAUGACUCAUUUUGAAAUCGUCAAUAACUUUUGUUCUUUACUCAUGCAAGAUUGUCACUGAAAGAUUAAAAAUACCUAACUAAAUUGCACAUAGCAUAUAGCAUUUGCAAAAUUAUAGCCUCAAAAACACCCUGAAUGCUUCAAUAGAAUUAGUAACUGUCAUCAAUCAUAAAAAUUCAGAACAUCAAUUAUAUUUCUACCUGGUCUAGCAAGAAUUGCACAUUCUUGUCAUCAACACAAAUUAGGUAGCAAUGCAAAUUGUCACCAUAAUCAAUCUUUCAAUUAGAAAACCCUAUUUAACCAUUUGCAGAUUACAUAAAACUGUUCAAAUGCACACACUGUACACCCUAACAAUUUCAAGGUUUUCAGCUAUUAUACAACUGAAGCAUAAAACUAUUCAAAUACACACAUUGUACAAAAUUACAUUGUAAUUAUACCAUUGGAGAUGAUGUAAUUAAUAAAAAAGUGAGUUAAAAAAUUAUACCAUUGGAGAUGAUGUAAAAUUAUCAUUAUCUUGAACAGCUUCAUUAACAUCAUCAUUAAUUUCAUUCUCUGGUUCAACACCUUCAUUCCAAAUUAAAAAAAUGCAUCCAUUACAGUUAACUAUGUAUUAUUUUACAUGUUUCAAAACAUAUUACAGUUAUUUAGUUAAGGAAUUACAACAAAAGAAAGAGUGUAAUUUCAGUAAUAAAUUACUGUAAUUGAUGAAUUAAUGCACUAUAGUAAUAGUAAUAGAUAUAGUAUUUAUAGUGCAAAAUGAUAAAGUACACAUGCAUACUAAUUUCAAACCAUGCAUUUAACUUGGUGACAUAAAAAAGAAUAAAAAAUGCACAUCAUAUUUCUCCUAGUGAAGAUAUUAGCCACCAUUUUCAUUUUCAUUUUCAAGAAACAAGUCCUCUAAUUUACAUACAAACAAACAAACUGGACAAGAUCAAGAAGAACACACAAAAGUAGCCAAGGACAGCAAAGUCAAUUAUUCAAAGUUACAAACAAAAAUAUUAAAAGAGUAACAUACUUACAAAACAGCAAAAAAACAUUCAUUAUAGCAAACUAUGAACUGUUUUACAUGUUUGCAAAUAUAUUACAGUUUUUUUAGUUAAAGAAUUACACCAAAAAAAUUUUGUAAUUUCAAUAGUACAUUCCUGUAACUGACACAAAUUACUAACUCAGUUCAUCAUUUAACACAGUACUACAUCUAGAGUUCAUUGUCUCAAAUAAGGCAGAUAAAAACAAAAUCUAAAUAUCAGAAAAAGUCACUUCAGAAAUAAACUUAAACCUAAAUACAUCAAUAGGCCCUAAUAUAUACCUGAACUCUAGUUAUUGUGGACAAUUUCCAAAUAGACAAUGUUAAAGACAUCAGUAUAAAGUAAAAGGAGAUAAAAGAUCAUGUUUACUUCUGCAUUUAUUAAUCUGACUGUGUAAAAUUCUGUAUAGAAAACAAAUCAAUCAUCUGAAAUCUACCAUGUGAAGUGAUCUCAAUCCAUCAUACAUGUUUCACAGAUUGAUAGAACAAAUUUAAGUUACACAGUUUCAAUUCAAAAACAGAAACUGAUCAGGUAAGAUAUUACAGUUAUUUAGUUAAAAAAUUACACAAAAAAGGUGAAAUUUCAAUAGUAAAUUCCUGUAACUAACACAAACUACUAACUCAGUUCAUUAUUUAACACAAUACUAUAUCUAGAGUUAAAUUUCAGAAGUAACAUGGAAGUAAAUUGAUAAAGUUUCAAACAUACAGAUCAGGAAGUAUUCUCUAUAAAAAAAAGUGGCCUCACAUCAGGCAGAUAAAUGCAAACCUGAAUAUCAAAAAAAGUCAUUUUAGAAAUAGAACUAGACCUAAAAAAUUCAGAAUUGUUGUAAUGUCAUGAUAAUUUUACCUUACAUUUUUUUUAGAUAAUUUCAACGAACUAGUCAGUGUAACGUAUCGAUAUCAACAAAAUUCAAAACUCUUAACAUAUCAAAAAGUUAGUGUGCAGUACUUAUCUUUUUCGCAUUCAUGGCUUCCCUCUUAGGACACCAAUUCAAAUCAACUUCCCUGCAAGAGAAACAAUGCAGCACUAAUCAGAACAAAAUUUCCAACCAGCCAUAUGGAACAAAAUCAAAGAAAAUGGAAGAAACAACCUCAGGUAAACAACAUCUGGAGACAUAUGGAAAAAAAGAUUCUAUGAACUACUCAAAUUAUCUUAUACUGAAAUCAGAAUGGUAACCGUGUGUUGGAAUGCCAAACAACACAUUAUGCAUCUCUGUAUAUUUUGCACAUUAUCAAUAGAGAUUAUUCAAACAAACUAUAGUCCAAUUGAUAAUGAAUUACAUAUAAAAAAUAUUGUAAUUUCAGUACUAAUUUUAUGUAAGUGAUGCAAAAUCUAAAAUUUGAAACAACCAAUAUAUUAGAAUUUGUGCACCAUGUGGCAUUUAAUGUAAAUGUAUACCUUUAGUUCCAUAUAACUUUUCAAUACAUCAAAUUAUAAAUCAAUUCAUAAUUAUAUUAAAAAUGAACAUAGUUUAUAAAUCAGAUGAUCACAAAUAUAAAAUAUUUGAUUUGAAAUCAUAAUCAAUUCAAUGUUUGAAUCAAAGCAAUCUUUUAACUAUUAAGUUCAGAAACUUACAAGUAGAUCAUUCAUACAAACUGUUUCACACUUAAAUACAGUAUGCAUGGUGUAAAUAAAAAUUUAUUCAUGCAAAAAUAGUAGAAGAACAAUUAAUGUAUAUUAUCAUAUAUAAUUGAAUCUCAAAUCUGUUUAGAAACAUAAAGUACUAUUUUUAUCAAACAAUGGAUCAGAACUUGAGUGCUUAUCUGAUAACAUCUCACUAGAGGUAUAUAAUCCCUUCAUAAUCCCUUCUAUUUCAAAAACAUGAUGGUGCCAACAAAGUUUCAGGGAUCUGCAAAAUCUGAUUACUAAUGCAAAUUUUAAUUUCAGGAAUCUGCCAUAUUAUUUUUCAAAUAUAGCACCAAUAGAGUACCAUUCGAUUUUCAUCCUAAUGUAUAAACUCAAAAGUUAUGCAAUUACAGUACAUAUGUGAUACAAUUACAGGAAAAAAACACUAUAAUUUUGAUAGAAGCAUCAUAUAAGUCAACUUUAACAAUUACAAUACGUUAUUUGCAGGAAAGAAAGAAACAAGGAGGGAAAAAUCAAUAGUUGUAUGAAGACACAUGCAUCAAAUGCAUAAGAACUUGAAUACCAUAGACAACAAAUGCAUGAAUCAAAAUGACAAUUUCAGUUUAUUCCACAUAUUAAAGUUAAAACUAGAGAGCUCUAAUACACUUACUUUCACAUAUCACAGAAAGAUACAAUGCUAUGGGAAAACAAACGUUAACUAUAGGUUAGUAUUUCUCACCAGAUAACCCACAAAACACUGAUGUGUUUACUAAAAAUGUUAAUUAUCAUCAUUUGGGAAAAUAAUUAAAAUGUGCAAGGUUGCUCACUUCAAAACAAAAUUACUGGUCAUUCUUCUACCACGCUGUUUGCCAAAAACAUUGUAAUUCAUAUUUGUGUUUCCAAGAUUAGCUCAUCAAAUCUAUAGUUUUAGUUGAUUGUUCAUUUUUCAUUAUUAAGAAUUUUGUUUGGAUUAUCAUACAUCAAAAUUUCAAAAUACAGGUCGAUUGGAGGAAAUAAACAUUUCAAAGAAUACAGAGUUGCUUCGAAUGGAUAGCAUCUAUUCAAACAAAAAAGGUGAUCACAAUACUUCUACUGUUUAUUAUGUGGGGAAUAAAGUUUACUUAUUUACAUAAUUUACAGUAGUAUUUUGAUAGAAUAACAUAUUUACUACACUGUAAAUUUAAUAUAGACCUGUUGUAAUUGAUACUAUUUUAGAUUAGAACAAGUGUUUUAGCAUUAUACUAGUACUUAUUAGUUUAGAGACUUACCAGAAUUUUGAUCCAAUUUUGGUUGAUCAACUUGCAAAAUAUAAUUAGUCGCAAUAGAAAAAGAAUCAUGAACUAGUUUAAAAUCAAAUACUUAUAGUACUAGAUAUAAAUUGGAUCAUAUAGUUAUAGCACGAUUAAUUUUAGAACUAUUUUAAUUAUUUACAUGCUUUCUUAUUUAAGAAUACAUGUUUACAAGUCAAAUAGUCACAUUCAAACUAGUAUGCAGUUCUUAAAUUUUCCACUAUCUAAAAAAGAAAUAGCAGUAGCAAUUGAAUAAAUUCAAUUCCAAUAUCAAACCAACUGACUCAACUCAUUAUUUACAGGACUCAUAGGAACAAGGAGAAAGAAAGAAAGAAUUGUAUGAAAAUACAAGAAACAAAUUCAGGUAAAUAUUUUAAACUUAAUGUCAGAAUUGUGCUGAACUCAUAUAGAUUAAGAAUUAGUUGUGCAUUUAUUUCCAGGAAUUUUAACUAUAUUAUAGAAUCUUUCCAUUGCAUUGAUAACAGGAAUCAAGGAGAAAGAUGAUCUGGACAGAUCAGGGGACACAAGCAACCAAAUGCAGACAAGCAAUCAAAAUUUCAAUUAGGUGCAUGCUGGAUGCAUUGUAAAAAUAAAACUAGAACUAGCACUCCAAGAAUGUAAAUCAAUCAGUUGUGCAUAUAUGUAUGCUUUCUAUUUUUUUAGACUAGCCCAUUUCUCCAUGUGUCCUUUUCCUCUCAAUCCUGGACAAUCAGCUCAAGAAAAAAAUGCUCAUAGGAAGCAAAGAAGCUCUUGUCCAGAACCAUACAUAAUCAUAUCCCACUAAUUGGUCUUACAUAUAAAUCAAACUAGAAGAAAAUCAUGUUUAGCUACUACUUCUAAUUUGACAUGAGGGACUAAUCAUUUUUAUACAAUUUAUUGUUGCAGCAAAAGUGCAUCACUAUAUAUUUAUAGCAGACUUGGUCAUGAAAAUGUCAGACAAUCUGCAUGAUAAUACUAAAAUGUUGGAAACUCAUUGAUGCAUUUCAAAAUUUUCAAUAACUUGUGCUCUUUACAGAUCUAAUAAAAUUAGUCUAAGGUGGUCACCGAAGAGUAAAAAUACCAAACUAGAUUCCACAUAGCAUAUAUAGCAUCUGCAGACUUUUAGCAUAAGAAGGCCAUGGAUGCUUCAAGAGAUUCAGUCACUGUCAUCAAAAUAACAUGUGUUAAUUCUGAUUCAGAGAAGGUCAAUAGCAUGCUAGCAAGGCUGAACAAUGCAUCGCAAAGGCUUCUCCUCAUCUUCUACUCUAUGUAUCAUGAGGAACUUGUACCACACAGAUCCAAAUCGGAACAUCGCAUAGCACAAAUCCCCGCAGGAAACAACUAAAAUACCCUAAACAAAUGGGAAAAACUCACAGAAGGGGCUCACCGUGACAACUCACACCACACAACUCGAAAUUGAAACAUUGCAUAGCACAAAUCCCCACAAAAAAACUAAAAUACCCUAAAUAAAAGGGAAAAACUCACACAAGGAGAUCACCAUGUCAGAUUUGAAUAAGAAACAAGGGGAUUUACCGAGUUACAUUCGAAAAUCGAACACAUCACAUAUCCAAAUCGAAACAACUAAAACCUUGCAGCACACAAGGAAACAACGACAAGCUCGGAUCGAGGACGACGAGGACACAAAACACACUACACAACGACUAUGAGACUCACCGGAGAAAGGAAGAACGAUAUUGCCAACGAAUCGUCGAUGACUCCCACAAAUCAGCGUCAAAAACCCACCACUACAAAAUACAAAUAGUCGACGCGUCGAUGAACAAAGCAGUAAACAAACGGGAACUAAAUUCACUGGAGAAGAGGAGAAGGAGAUCACCGGCGAAUCGAUGUUGUGUCGCCUUCCACAAUCGCCGCAUCGCGUGGGACGAUGAGAGCAAGAAAUUUUCUCGCCCUGUAUGCUCUCACUCUCUCUCUCUCACAGACACAGUCACUCAGUCUCUCUCUGUCAACAGUGCAAGUGGGUCCCAUGGUAGACCAAAAGUCCAAGCUAUACACCCGAAGCAAUUGUCCAAGCCCAAAGCAAAUUCAGAACCAAAAGCCCACACAGAAUAAAAAGCCCACAGACCCAACUAGCAAAGGCCCUACCAGCUUGCACGAAUCUCAAAUAAAUCAAACGGCCAACAAAACGAAUGAUCCAGCUAUAGAAAAUCAGUCGACAGCCAUAUAGCCAUCCCGAUGGGGGCGGGGCAUUAAUCGGUUUAUUUCGACUCCUCUUUGGAGGUGGAUUUUUUCUCAAAUUCGUAGCAGUCGACUGAUACAAUUGCUAUGUUCGGUCUUUGUUUUCACAUGGUUCGAUUUUAUCCUCGCAUGGAGCUGCUCUAAGGAUAAGCCUGUCGUAGGAGAACCGCCACUGAACUCUGGUUGGGGUGUUGUGCACGGCCUGCUUUUCAGGUAUUUGACCGACCAGGACAGGAAAACGAGUUGGGCCUUGACGUCAGUUCGUGGUGAGGAAAAAGCACCAAAGGUCCCUCAACGUGUCAGCGAGAUAAAAAACAUCCUCCAACCACAAAACCAGAUAUGCUAGGUCCCUUAACUAUACAAAACCGGUCACCCGAGGUCCUAGGGCAGUAUUGACGCUGGAUUUGUCCUACGUGGCGGCUGAGUCAGCGUGGGACCCACAUGGGUCCCACAUGCCAUGAUGCCACGUAGGACAAUCUCUUCCCCUCUUCUCUCCCUUCCACUCUCUCUCUCACUUUGGCCGAUGACGGGCGAUGCGGCGGCGGCUUGGUGCGGCACCGACUUGGUGCGGGAGAGGAGGAGGUCCGGCAACCGGCAGGGGAGAAGAGCAGUGGUGAGGCGGGAACAUGCUGGGGAGAAGAGCGGUGGCGGCCUUCUCCAUGCGCGGGCGGCGGGGGAGCAGCUGGAGGUCCGUCGAGGUGAGGCGGCAACGCACGGUGGCGCGGGCGGCGCGGCGGAGGGGAGGGCCGGCGCGGCCGGCGACUGGCGAGGGAGGAGCCCGGCGGAGAGGAGAACCGAGGAAUUCUGGACACCGGGAUUCUGCCCCACGUUGUAGAAUGGCUAAUGCUGGGAGUUGGAGCUGCUGGCGAAGUUGGCCUAGUCGCGGUUGGGUUGGAACGCCAAGUAUUGCAUUGGCUGGUUCACCACGCCCGCGCCGCCGGGCGGGAGCAUCCACACAGUCACCGGUGACAUCACCUGCUUGCCGCCGUCACUGGCUGCCGGCAUGGCGAUGAACGGGAUUGUGCUGCCUCCAGCGGCUGUGGGUGCUGUUGCGGAUGAGGCGGGGGCGAGGCCGCUGGAUAUUGAGAUCGAGCCACCGCCGUUGGCUUGGAGGAGGGGGGCAGCAACAAAGGGGUAGUAGACCGCGGGGGAUGAGCCAUGGCCAGCGCCUCCACCGGGUCGUCGGUCGCCGCGCGCGUCGGCUGGAGCUUGCUACGCCGCUUUGGGGUGGGCUCAUCGCCGCGGGCAGCCGCCGCGACGGCGGAGGGCGACUCAGUGGGGAUGCGGAGGAUACCGUCGACAAUGGUGGUGAUCGCGGGCACGGUGCCCAUCCCCGUGGCGGUGUCGAUGGCAGGCUCCGACUGCUGCAUGAACCAGCGGAUGGUCUCGCUGUCGGACUUGUGCCCUAGCUCGCGGGUGAGCCAGCGGAUGGUCUCGCAGUCCAACUUGUCACCUGAGUUGGCGCCGCCGCCGCCGUCGCGUCGCCGCCUUGCUCUCCUCCCCACCCGUUGGGCGGCGGCGCCGGCCUGCCCAGAGCGGCGGAAGGAGAUGAGGAGGCUGCCUAGAGAAAGAGAUGAGGAAGGGAGAGAAGAGGGGAAAGAGGGAGAGGAGGCUGACGUGGAUAACCCUAACAUGUGGGCCCCACGUGGGUCCCACGCUGACUCAGCCGCCACCAAAGGACCUCGGGUGACCAAUUUUGUAUAGUUAAGGACCCCGCAUACUGGUUUUGCGGUUCGAGGACAUUUUUAUAUCCCGAUGACAAGUUGAGGGACCUUUGGUACUUUUUUCUUAGUGGUGACAAUUGUAGCUCAUGGGCCGAGCUCUCAGUUACCGGAUGCAAAUAAUUUAGCACCGCUCGUAAGAGUGGCAAAUAGUUAAUUAUUCCGACGGCUAUUGGUUCCGGCCAAGGCCAUUUGGCACGCUUGCUCUGCUUGUUAUCAAGAUCAAAUACAGUAUAUCACGAAAAGCUCUUACUCUCUAAAUCGAAGUAUAUAACUGAAGACCAUUGUGCUGUUACCUCAGGCUGGUCUCCAAGAUUCAGAUGCCUCUUUUGAUGUAUAUUUCAGCUAGUACUAUUUUUUAGCACAUAUCAUGCGUACUGUCUCUGCUUACGGAUACAAAAGUUCAAACUCUCCAUGCUCCCGUGAUAAUGAUAUCCCUCGUAGGUAUCUUAUCACAACACUAACAUGAGUACGGUAGUUUUCUAUACUGUCACUUGUCGUAUACUAGUUAUAUAGUCGGCAGUAAAACUCCUCGGGGGGGCCUGAAGAAGCACGAGGCAGACACAGCAGCAGUGGAAAUAAACAGCGGUUCUGAUAACAACGUGGGCCUCUGAUACUCUGCAGGUGACGCAAACGGAUUCAAAUUCUGCUGGGAAAAAGGAAUCAUGGCAAAGAGACAAAAGCGGAAGAAACGCGGGAGCAAACAAACGGCUUCGACCAGUACCACUGCUAUUUCGCGCAUCUCAUCUCAACCUUGUCGUGUUCCUGUUUUGAACUCCCUCAACGUUCAAACACUGGUUCCCCCAGAUCAAGAGUGAUAUUCAGUGUAUCAGACAUAGUAGUGGUACUGUCUGCUUUGCGGUACCAGGAACGCUUGUACGGUGUGAUUUUGGCAUACUUGCAUGAUUGUGCAAUGCACAUCGGAACUUCGGAUAGAUGAAGAGCUGGAUGCUUGUAAUCUAAACGAACUGAUCUGUUCUAAUCUGGCAAGAUCAUGUCAAGAACAAUCCGAAGCCAAGAAUUACAAUGUUGUUCUUUCACCCCAAUAUUUGCGGUAUCAUACAUUGUUCAGGUUCAGGGCAGGAUUCCCGCCAUGGCAAUUCUUGGCUCCCCUCACCUCCUUGCACACCCUCUCCAGCAUCCCCAGGAAGUCCCUGACGAUGACGAAGAUCCUGAGCGGGCUCGCCUCGUCCUUGCCGACGUCGCCAUGGUAGUACUCGGUGAUCUCCCUGACGUGCGCCAGCACCCGCCGCUCGCCGUCCUCCAGCUCCCGGAUCACCUCACCGGCGUGGGCGACGAACGGCGCCAUGAACGCCACGAAGCACUGGUUCCUCUCGUCGCCGGACAGGUCGCUCCCGACCAGCUCCUUGAUCCGGGACAGGCCGUGCGACAGGCCGGACACCGAGGUGGUGAGCACGUCCAGGUCCACGGUCGCCGUCUUCCUGACGUUGGUGAGCUCGGCGCCGAGCCCCGCGGCGAUGUCCGCCGCCUCGGCGGCGCGCGACCGGGUCAUCUCCUGCACCACGAAGUGCAGCAGCGUGGUCUUCCCGUCGGUGCCCUUGACGUCGGCGAGCUUGAGCAGCGCGUCGAGCUUGAACGCCAUGGCGCCGCCGCGGGCAGUCCCGACGUUCAUCCGGUUCCCGGUCUUGAGCACGGCCUCCAGCAGCUUCAGGAACAGCUUGCUGGACAUCAGCUCCCUGCACGCCUCCUUCCAGACACCAAGAACGACACGCCAUUUCCAAACUCAGAAUCUUAAUAGUAUAAUCACAAAGCUGCAGAAUCAGUAAGACCGCCAUUGCGACGAACACCCCAAGAUUCACCUCGAGCAUCUCGAACGACUUCCUGAUGUGGCCGACCUCGUCGGCGAAGGUCUCCCGGUACAGCAUCGCCUCCACUCGCGCGAACGCGCACGGUAUCGUGAGCACCACCUUGAGCAGCCUCUCCGCCGGGACGAGGCCGUCGACGUCGCCGUCGUAGGCGGACAGCUUGUCGGCCUCGUCCUUGGCCGGCGCCAUCUUGAUGAGCGCCUCCAGCUGCUGCGCCGACAGGCCGUUCCCUGCGACCAAUCCAUCCAAACCAAGAGAAAGAAAGAAAAAACUCAAAUUAAACACACACACCAACUGUGCCGUGCAGGACGGUGUUGAUUCGUGCUCGAUCGUGCCGUGCGGUUUGGUUACCGUGCAGCAGGGCGGCGAAGAUCUGCUCGGCGGUGGCGCUGACGGCCUUCAUCAGGAUGGUGAAGUUCUGCAGCCUCUUGGUGUCGAGGACGUGGUGGCCGAGCGAGGGGCUCCGGCUCUGCACCUCCUCGUGCUUCGUCGAACACCUCGCGUUGUACCCGAACAGCGACUCGAUCAUCUUCUCGUCCAGCCUGCGAAUCAGACGUGGUUUGAUCAGCGUGUGGCGCGAAAACGUGUACGCUCGUGUGGUCGAAGUGUCGAACACCUCGAGCUCGUUCGUAGUCGUAGGGGAGAUGGGGUGGGUUUUGGGUGUACGUACUCGAACGAGCUCGAUCGGAUCCUGUCCCACACCAUCCGCCGGUUGGGCGCGGCGCGCACCUUGUCCCAGUGCAGCGGCUUCAGCUUCGGCAGCGGCGCGCCGUUCUUCCCGACCGCCGGCGCCCACGGCCUGAACAGAGGAGGCGGCGCGGGCGCCGGCGGGAGGAUCGGGCCGCCGCUGCUCUGCUGUUUCGGUGCGAGCAGUGGCGGUGGC
Molecule: long non-coding RNA, 75409 nt
Filed under: Oryza sativa (Asian cultivated rice)
Lineage: Eukaryota; Viridiplantae; Streptophyta; Magnoliopsida; Poales; Poaceae
Description: long non-coding RNA (OSAT_LNC000790)
Rfam family: MIR812 microRNA precursor family (bases 10402-10602)
Source: RNAcentral